ACGCACGUACACCUAUUCCAUUCCACAGCUGUAAGAGUUCUUCAACUAAUGGCCUUAGGUACACAUCAAUAUCGUUGCCGGGUUGCUUAGGGCCUUGGAUGAGCACUGGAAUCAUAAUGAACUUCCGCUUCAUGCACAACCAAGGAGGAAGGUUAUACAAACAUAGAGUCACAGGCCAGGUGCUAUGGUUGCUGCUCUGCUCCCAGAUACGUCUCCGUCGUAUCUACUUUUCCAAACACUUUUGCCCUUGUUUUGGACUCUAACUUGUAUGAUUUCAAUGGAACUAACCCGGACUAACGCUGUUUUCAGCAGAAUUGCCAUGAUGUUGUUUUACGUGCAGAAAACAAAAGUUCUCAGAAUGACCUGAAACUCCAUGGAAUAUCUUACAAUAAAUAAUAAAAAAUCCUCGCCAAAUAUGAAGACCAGGGGGCCCACACCCUUGCCACAAGGGUGGAGGGCGCCCCCCCUCCUAGGGUGCGCCCCCUACCUCGUGUUCCCCUGGAUACCUCCCGACUCCAACUCCAACUCUAUAUAUCUGCUUUUGGGGAGAAAAAAAUAGGAGAGAAGAAAUCAUUGCGUUUUACAAAUAUGGAGCCACCGCCAAGCCCUAAAACCUCUUGGGAGGGCUGAUCUGGAGUCCGUUCGGGGCUCCGGAGAGGGGAAUCCGUCGCCAUCGUCAUCGUCAACCAUCCUCCAUCACCAAUUUCAUGAUGCUCACCGCCGUGCGUGAGUAAUUCCAUCGUAGGCUUGCUGGACGGUGAUGGGUUGGAUGAGAUUUAUCAUGUAAUCGAGUUAGUUUUGUUAGGGUUUGAUCCCUAGUAUCCACUAUGUUCUGAGAUUGAUGUUGCUAUGACUUUGCUAUGCUUAAUGCUUGUCACUAGGGCCCGAGUGCCAUGAUUUCAAAUCUGAACCUAUUAUGUUUUCAUCAAUAUAUGAGAGUUGUUGAUCCUAUCUUGCAAGUCUAUAGUCACCUAUUAUGUGUUAUGAUCCGUUAACCCCGAAGUGACAAUAAUCAAGAUACUUACCGGUGAUGACCGUAGUUUGAGGAUUUCAUGUAUUCACUAUGUGCUAAUGCUUUGUUCCGGUUCUCUAUUAAAAGGAGGCCUUAAUAUCCCUUAGUUUCCAUUAGGACCCCGCUACCACAGGAGGGUAGGACAAAAGAUGUCAUGCAAGUUCUUUUCCAUAAGCACGUAUGACUAUAUUCAGAAUACAUGCCUACAUUACAUUGAUGAAUUGGAGCUAGUUCUGUGUCACCCUAUGUUAUGACUGUUACAUGAUGAACCCCAUCCGGCAUAAUUAUCCAUCACUGAUCCGAUGCCUACGAGCUUUCCAUAUACUGGUUUAUGCUUAUUUACUUUCCCGUUGCUAUUGUUACAAUUACUACAUAAUACCAAAAAAAUUACUUUGCUUUCAUUACUCUUUUGUUACCGUUACCACCACUAUCGUAUUACUUUUCUACUAAACACUCUGCUGCAGAUACUAAGUUUCCAGGUGUGGUUGAAUUGACAACUCAGCUGCUAAUACUUGAGAAUAUUCUUUGGCUCCCCUUGUGUCGAAUCAAUAAAUUUGGGUUGAAUACUCUACCCUCGAAAGCUGUUGUGAUCCCCUAUACUUGUGGGUUAUCAAGACUAAUUUCUGGCGCCGUUGCCGGGGAACAUAGCUCUAUUCUUUGAGUCACUUGGGAUUUAUAUCUGCUGGACAUGAUGAAGAAAUUGAAAGAUGCCAAGACAACAAUUUAUCCCUCAACUACUAGGGGAGGUAAGGAACUGCCAUCUAGCUCUGCACUUGAUUCACCUUCUGUGAUGAGUAAGCUUGCGACACCUAAACCUGCUUCUGCUAUUCGUUCUGAUAUGUCGCAUGUUAUUGAUGAUGAUACUUCUGCUAUACAUGAUACUUAUGAUGAAACUACUUCUAUGCUUGAUACUACUGUGCCACUUGGUGAUUUUCUCGAGGAACGACUUGCUAGAGCUAGAGAGGUUGAAAAUAUUGAAUCUGAUUAUGAUGAUGAAAGUGAUGAUGAGAGAAUCACUUGUUAUUCCUGAGGGUUAUUUAUUUGAUCAAGAAGCUUCUUUAGCUAUUUUAGCUUGCAAAGAUAGAUAUGAACUCAAAAGGUUAUUAGCUAAAUGGAACAAGCAAUCUCUAAAUGCUAGGAUGAAACCUGACCCUGCUUUUGCUACUUCACCUAUCUGUGUUACUGAUAAGGAUUAUGAAUUCUCUGUUGAUCUUGAUAUAAUUACUUUAGUUGAAUCUGAUCCUUUUCAUGGAUAUGAAUCUGAAAUUGUUGUAGCACAUCUUACUAAAUUAAAUGAUAUAGCUACCCUGUUACACUAAUGAUGAGAGAUCUCGCUACUUUUAUAUCCUUAAAAUAUUUCCGUUCUCAUUAAAGGGUGAUGCUAAGAUAUGGUUUAAUUCUCUUGAUCCUGGUUGUGUGCGUAGUCCCCAGGAUAUGAUUUACUACUUCUCUGCUAAAUAUUUCCCUGCUCAUAAGAAACAAGCUGCUUUAAAGGAAAUAUACAACUUUGUGCAAAUUAAAGAAGUGAGUCUCCCACAAGCUUGGGGGAGGCUUCUCAAGUUACUUAAUGCUUUGCCUGAUCAUCCUCUUAAGAAAAAUGAAAUACUUGAUAUCUUUUAUAAUGGACUAACCGAUGCUUCCAGAGAUUACCUGGAUAGUUGUGUUGGUUCUCUUUCCAGGAAAAGAACACCGGAUGAAGCUGAAAUCUUAUUGAAUAAUAUGUUAACAAAUGAAAAUAAUUGGGCACCUCCCGAGCCAGCUCCUGCUCCAAUUAAUGAUCCUAUUCCUAAACCAACUCCGAAGAAGAGAGGUGUUCUAUUUCUCAGUCCCGAAGAUAUGCAAGAGGCAAAGAAAUCUAUGAAAGAAAAAGGUAUUAAAGCUGAAGAUGUUAAGAAUUUACCUCCUAUUGAAGAAAUAGAUGGUCUUAAUUUACCGCCUAUUGAAGAAACAUAUGAUCUUAAUCCUUUAUUUAUUGAAGAACCUCCAGACCCCGAUAACCCGACAUAGGUAGUAAAGGUAAAUUCUCUCUAUAGAUAUGGUAAAGAUGAAAUCCCUCCUGCUAAAAUUGCUAGUCAAUGCUUGGAUGAGUUUGAUAAUUUUAUGUUUAAGCAAGAAAACUUCAAUGCUUAUUUUGGUAGACAAUUAAAACAAGAUGCUGAUAUGAUUAAAUAUUUAGGUGAUUAUAUGGCUAAUUAGAGGUGAACUUAAACUUGUUAGCAAACAUGCUUUUAUGGUUACCACUCAAGUAGAACAAGUACUUAAAGCUCAAAAGGAAUUGCUCAAUGAGAUGAAUAGUAAGAAAAAUGAUUAUGUUGUUAAAGUGGCUACUAGAACUGGUAGAAUGACUCAGGAACCUUUGUAUCCUAAAGGCCACCCCAAGAGAAUUGAGCAAGAUUCUCAGAGAAAUAAUAUUGAUGCACCUAGUUCUUCUAAAAGGAAGAAAAAGAAAAAUGAUAGAACUAUGCAAACUUCAAGUGAACCUAUUGCUGAACCACCUGAUAAUCCAAAUGAUAUCUCUAUGUCUGAUGCUGAAACACAAUCUGGCAAUGAACAUGAACCUAAUGAAAAUGUUAAUGAUGAUGUUCAUAAUAAUGCUCAACCUAGUAAUGAUAAUGCUGUAGAAAUUGAACCUGCUAUUGAUCUUGAUAACCCACAAUCAAAGAAUCAACGUUAUGAUAAGAAAGACUUUGUUGCUAGGAAACAUGGUAAAGAAAGAGAACCUUGGGUUCAGAAACCCAUGCCUUUUCCUCCCAAACCAUCCAGCAAAAAGGAUGAUGAGGAUUUUGAGCCCUUUGCUGAAAUGAUUAGACCUAUAUUUUUGCGUAUGUGAUUGACUGAUAUGCUUAAAAUGAAUCCUUAUGCUAAGUACAUGAAAGAUAUUGUUACAAAUAAAAGAAAGAUACCAGAAGCUGAAAUUUCCACCAUGCUUUCUAAUUAUACUUUUAAGGGUGGAAUACCAAAGAAACUUGGAGAUCAAGGAGUACCUACUAUACCAUGCUCCAUUAAAAGAAACUAUGUUAAAACUGAUUUAUGUGAUCUUGGAGCCGGUGUUAGUGUUAUGCCUCUCUCUUUAUAUUGUAGACUUGAUUUGAAUAAGUUGACACCUACUGAAAUACCUUUGCAAAUGGCUGAUAAAUGAACUGCUAUACCUGUCGGUAUUUGUGAGGAUGUGCCUAUUGUAGUUGCAAACAUUACUAUUUUAACGGACUUUGUUAUUCUUGAUAUUCCCGAGGACGAUAGUAUGUCUAUUAUUCUUGGAAGACCUUUUCUUAAUACUGCAGGGGCUGUUAUUAAUUGCAACAAAGGCAAUGUCACUUUUCAUGUUAAUGGUAAUGAGCAUACGGUACAUUUUCUGAGGAAACAACCUCAAGUUCAUAGUAUCAAUUCUAUCAGAAAAAUUCCAUCGAUUAUAUUUGGAGGGUUUGAAUUUCCUCUUCCUACUGUCAAGAAGAAAUAUGAUAUACUUAUUAUUGGGGAUGUGCAUAUCCCCGUUGAGGUAACCUAGUGUUAUUCGAAAUUUCUCCGGUUUCAUGUUAAUCGGAAUGAGUUUGUUAACAAGACUUGAUCAACCUUGUUAGUGGAUUCCUUUUGAUGAGCAUGAGAUGGAUGAAACUAGAAGCACAACCUUCUGUACCCUCUCUAUUCUUUCUGUCAUUUAGUUGAAAUAAAGUAAAAAAUAAAUAAUUUUCUGUGUGUUAUCUGAUUAUCUGUGCAAUAUAAAAACACCUCGAAAAUAAAAGUUCUCCAAAUACCCUGAAAAUUAAAUAUGAUUUUUUCUAGAAUAUUUGAGGAUUUAUGGAACAAAGAACACACCAGGGGGGCCAACCACCUUGUCACGAGGGUGGAGGGCGCGCCCACCCCCCUAGGGCACGCCCCCUGCCUCGUGGGCCCACGGUGGCCCUCCUCCACUUAUUCUUGCACCCAUCCUCUUCUUCUUCCUCCCACAAACACGAAAAACCAACUCAAGCACGAGUUCCGGCCCUCUUUGCUGCCAUUUUCGAUCUCCUUGCUCAAAGCACCUCUCACAAAACUGCUUGGGGAGAUUGUUCCUUGUGACUCCUCCAUUGGUCCAAUUAGUUUUUGUUCUAGUGAUUUAUUCAUUGCAAAUUUUUGCUGCUUAAGUGACCCUGUUCUUGAGCUUGCAUGUCAAAUUUAUAUGGUCAAAAGUAGUUUUGAUGCAUGAUAUAGGCCCUUGGCACUUGUAGGAGUGGUUGCUAUCAAUAUUAUUGAGUUUGGUUUACUUUUAUUUUGAAGUUACUAAAAAAUUUCAGAAUUUUUUAGAGGAAGAAAUAUGCUUAGGAAAAUGUUCCAAGGUGGUUCUUCAAAGAAGUAAGGACCCAGGCUUGCAAUGCGUGAUACUGAUGAAGAGCCACCAAGAGACGCUCCAGUGCGUCCUUGUGAGUGGCCUUCUGAAAAUUUUAUGGAUCGAGUGGGAAUUAAAGAAGAAUUUAACGCAUAUUUGCGUAAUGCCGGUCUUGAGGACUUUGAGGCAGACAAAUGCCCCCAGUAUCAUGAUCUCACAAGCUCUUUUGUGAGGAGGUUUGAGUAUUCAUCUUCGCGUAAUUCUCCUUCAGUCAUGUUUGAUCUUUAUGACAAAUCUUAUACCAUGGACUUAGAGGAUUUCACUUUUGCUUGCAAACUUCCACAAUGGGGUAGUGUUAGGGAUCCCCCUAAAUCUGAAUUUAGAAACUUUCUUGCUAGUAUAACUGUAGGGGAAUCUAGAGAUAUAACGCAAGCUACCAUAGGGAGCGUUCACUUUCCUGCUAUACAUUAUUUUGCUCUCUUCAUAGGUAGGUGCAUAAAUGCUAAGGAUGAAGCAUGUCACAUGUGUGUCCCUGACCUUAGCAUUCUCAGGAGUGUUGUGUCAGGAGACCAAUCUUAUCAUAUGGGAGCCAUUGUAGCUCGUAGGUUGCAUCAUAAUAGAUAUAAUGGAGAUUUCUUUGGAUGAAUUUAUGCAACCCGCUUAGCUAAAUUUCUUGAGAUAGAUGUUCGUGAAGGAGACAUGGAGUUGCCUCCUGCUUAUUUAGAUUUUGAUUCUAUGGUUUCUCACCAUUUUGUCGAGAGGAAUGAAUCGCCUCUCCAGUACCGACUAAUCUUUGACAGACGUCGUGUUGUCCGUAUUACUCUCCCUGCUCCUGUUUUCUUUGAUUAUCAGGCAAGAGGAGGAUAUACUAUUACCACAGAGGAGGCAGAUGAGUACGAGAGGAGAGCAGAGGCCGCUCGUCGUCACACUGCAGCUCAGGAGGCGAUAGUCGCUGCAUUGCCGUACGACCCCAACUAUUAUUAUGGAUAUCAGCCAGGCCAGCCAUGGCCAUAGACCAACUUAGGCCAAAAGCCUAAGCUUGGGGGAGUACGUAUUUCUCACCGACAUUACAUUUAUAUUCACACACACUCAUUACUAGAUGUCGGUGCUCAUACUUUUUCAUUGUAUCAUCCAUGCUAGUUUAUUUCCUUUUAUGCUUUCUUAUUGUGUGUUUAAUAAACCUUAAGAAAAUACCAAAAAAAUUAGUUGUAGAUGUUAAUUAAUUUACUUUCCAUGCUUGUAGUAGUAAUUAAAAAGAAAACCCAAAAAUAUUUCCUGUUCUUUUUUUGCUUGUUGGGAGCUUUCCUGUGUAAAUAGUUUUAUUUCUUUUAUUUUCUUUGGGGGUCAGUAGGAGAAGACCAUGAUUAAAUUGUUGAAGUGGCUCUUAUAUGCUUUAUUGUUGAUUUAACCAAGACCCAUAUUGUUUUGUCUUCUCCUGUUUAUUGAAUGCUCGCAGAUUCCAGCUUAGUCCAAUGCACGUGUACUCUUAUUAUUAUUCACAUCAUUCGUUCAUGCGAGUGAAAGGCAAUUAUGAUGAUAUAUGAUGGACUGACUGAGAUGAGAAAACCUGGUAUGAACUCGACCUCUUUUGUUUUUGUAAAUAUGAUGAGUUCAUCAUUCUUGAUUCAGCUUGUUAUGAAUAAACAUGUUCACAAUGAAAAUUAGAGAUCAUAGUUGCUUGUGCCAUGCUUGAUUAGCUAUGAGUUAUAAUGGUUUACCUUGCGUGCCAACAUGCUAUUGAGAUGGUUAUGGUGUGGUAUGAUGGGGUGGUAUCCUCCUUUGAAUGAUUUAAGUGACUUGACUUGGCACAUGUUCACGCAUGUAGUUGAAACAAAUCAACAUAGCCUUCACGAUAUUUAUGUUCAUGGUGGAUUAUGUCCUACUCAUGCUUGCAUCCAAUGUUUAUUAAUUUUAAUGCAUGUACAUGGUUGUUGUCGCUCUCUAGUUGGUCGCUUCCCGGUCUUUUGCUAGUCUUCACCUGUAUUAAGCAGGAAUACUGCUUGUGCAUCCAAACUCCUUAAACCCCAAAGUUAUUCCACAUGAGUCCACUAUAUGCGGUAUCUACCUGCCAUUCCAAGUAAAUUUGUAUGUGCCAAACUCUAAACCUUCAAAUGAUCUUCCUAUUUUGUAUGCUCGAAUAGCUCAUGUAUCAACUAGGGUUGUCUGUAUCUUCCAUGCUAGGCGGGUUAUUCUCAAGAGGAGUGGACUCCGCUCCUCACUCAUGAGAAAAUGGCUGGUCACCGGGAUGUCCAGUCCCAUGCUUUAUGCAAACUAAAUCAAAAAUAAUUGCAAAACAAAACUCCCCCUGGGACCUGAUGUAUGUUGAAGGCACUUGUUGUUUCGAGCAAGCCAUGGAUUGAUGUUUGUUGGUGGAGGGGGAGUAUAAACUUUACCAUUCUGUUUGGGAACCACCUAUAAUGUGUGUAGCAUGGAAGAUAUCGCCAUCUCUUGGUUGUUAUGUUGACAAUGAAAGUAUACCGGUCAAAAUAUUAUUCACCUCUAUUUCAAAACCGAGCUCUGGCACCUCUACAAAUCCCUGAUUCCCUCUGCGAAGGGCCUAUCUAUUUACUUUUAUAUUGAGUCAUCACCCUCUUAUUAAAAGCACUAGCUGGAGAGCGCAGCUGUCAUUUGCAUUCAUCACUGUUAAUUUAUAUUGGGUGUGACUAUGAUUGGAUCUCUUUUACCAUGAAUUACAAUGUCUAGUUAGUCCUUGAUCUUUAAAGGUGCUCUGCAUUUAUGUAUUGCGGUAUCAGAAAGGGCUAGCGAGAUACCGUCUUGUUAUAUCAUAUUAUGAUUGUUUUGAGAAAGUGUUGUCAUCUGAGAUUUAUUAUUAUGGCUUGCUAGUUGAUUAUGCUGUUGAUAUGGGUAAUCAUGAGACCUGAGAAUUAUUGCAAAUGUGGUUAGUUAUAAUCUUUGCUGAAAACUUGAAUGCUAGCUUGACAUAUUUAUAACAACAAGAGCAAACAGAGUUUGUAAACGUUUUUCUGUAUUUAUUUCAGUUUGUCAACUGAAUUUCUUGAGGACAAGCAAGGGUUUAAGCUUGGGGGAGUUGAUAUGUCUCCAUCGUAUCUACUUUUCCAAACACUUUUGCCCUUGUUUUGGACUCUAACUUGUAUGAUUUCAAUGGAACUAACCCGGACUGACGUUGUUUUCAGCAGAAUUGCCAUGAUGUUGUUUUAUGUGCAGAAAACAAAAGUUCUCGGAAUGACCUGAAACUCCACGGAAUAUCUUACAAUAAAUAAUAAAAAAUCCUCGCCAAAGAUGAAGACCAGGGGGCCCACACCCUUGCCACGAGGGUGGAGGGCGCCCCCUACAUCGUGGGCCCCCUGGAGACCUCCCGACUCCAACUCCAACUCUAUAUAUCUGCUUUCGGGGAUAAAAAAAUAGGAGAGAAGAAAUCAUCGCGUUUUACGAUAUGGAGCCGCCGCCAAGCCCUAAAACCUCUCGGGAGGGUUGAUCUGGAGUCCGUUCGGGGCUCCGGAGAGGGGAAUCCGUCGCCAUCGUCAUCAUCAACCAUCCUCCAUCACCAAUUUCAUGAUGCUCACCGCCGUGCGUGAAUAAUUCCAUUGUAGGAUUGCUGGACAGUGAUGGGUUGGAUGAGAUUUAUCAUGUAAUCGAGUUAGUUUUGUUAGGGUUUGAUCCCUAGUAUCCACUAUGUUCUAAGAUUGAUCUUGCUAUGACUUUGCUAUGCUUAAUGCCUGUCACUAGGGCCCGAGUGCCAUCAUUUCAGAUCUGAACCUAUUAUGUUUUCAUCAGUAUAUGAGAGUUCUUGAUCCUAUCUUGCAAGUCUAUAGUCACCUAUUAUGUGUUAUGAUCCGUUAACCCCGAAGUGACAAUAAUCGGGAUACUUACCAGUGAUGACCAUAGUUUGAGGAGUUCAUGUAUUCACUAUGUGCUAAUGCUUUGUUCCGGUUCUCCCCGCUGCCACGGUGUAACAUCCCAAAUUUCCAAUUUGGAAUGUUAUACAUUAGAUCAUCAUUACAUAGCAUAUUUUAUUGCUUUUAGGCCUGAUCCAGAAAUUCUAGGCAACUCAAGGACCCACGGAGAGAGUUGGGGAUUUCGUUCUUUUCAUAUUUGAGUUUUCUCAAAUUUUGAAAAUAGGAUCAUUUGAUUUUAUUUAUUUUAUCUUCAAUUAUUUCUAUUAUAAAAAUAUGAAAGAGGGAAUAAAAUGACUUUCCCAAAAUAAAGAAAUAUUGAGAGUUUAGUAAUAAAAUCAAAUAAGUUUUUGUUUUGGAGUUUUUCACUGUUUUAUUUGAAUAUAGGAAAAAUUGCACGUUUUCAAAAACUACAUUUAGGGCCAAGAAAAUGUUCAUCCUAUUCUAAAUAUUUUAUUUAGACGGUGAAAAUUUGUUUUGGCAAUUUUAGAAUUUUAUUUAUCUAUUUAGGAUUUUUCUUAGUUCGGUAGAAUUUUUUAAAAAAAAACCUGCGCGCCCGACUGGGCCAGGCCGGCCCGCCAGGCGCCACCGCCUCCUCGCCCAUGCUGCCGCCGGACUCGGAGAGUCCGAGCCGGAGCCGCCGCCGCCGCCCGACCCCCCUCCCCAAGUCGGACGCCGCCGCCCCCCUCCCUCCUUUAUUUACCACCCCAGGGCCCCCACCCUGGAGCCCCGAGUCGCCGCCGCCNNNNNNNNNNNNNNNNNNNNNNNNNNNNNNNNNNNNNNNNNNNNNNNNNNNNNNNNNNNNNNNNNNNNNNNNNNNNNNNNNNNNNNNNNNNNNNNNNNNNNNNNNNNNNNNNNNNNNNNNNNNNNNNNNNNNNNNNNNNNNNNNNNNNNNNNNNNNNNNNNNNNNNNNNNNNNNNNNNNNNNNNNNNNNNNNNNNNNNNNNNNNNNNNNNNNNNNNNNNNNNNNNNNNNNNNNNNNNNNNNNNNNNNNNNNNNNNNNNNNNNNNNNNNNNNNNNNNNNNNNNNNNNNNNNNNNNNNNNNNNNNNNNNNNNNNNNNNNNNNNNNNNNNNNNNNNNNNNNNNNNNNNNNNNNNNNNNNNNNNNNNNNNNNNNNNNNNNNNNNNNNNNNNNNNNNNNNNNNNNNNNNNNNNNNNNNNNNNNNNNNNNNNNNNNNNNNNNNNNNNNNNNNNNNNNNNNNNNNNNNNNNNNNNNNNNNNNNNNNNNNNNNNNNNNNNNNNNNCACCCCACGCCGCCCGGAACCCCGCCGGAGCCCCGCCGGAGUCCGAGCCGAGGUAGCCGUCGCCGCCCAGUUUUCUGAGAAAAAUUGAUCUGGUUUUUUUUAGAAAACCCUAGUUUCAUUUUUUAAAUAGAUCGGUUUUUGGUUUAUUUAUUUAGCGAGCGUUCGCUCGUUCGUUUUUUUAACGAAAGCGUUCAUCGUUUAGUUCCAGAAAACGAAUGUUCGUUCGUUAUUCUGUUCGUCAUUUUUCUUUUUCUCGGAUUAUUCCGCGAUUAUUUCUAAUCGCGAUUUCUGAUCCGGUUUACGUUUUAGUGUAACUCUUCGCUCGUUUAUCAGAAUCAGGCGAUUCAAGCGCCUGAAGUUUCGCCUCAAAACCCUCUUUCUGUUUAACCAACUCAAACAAGUUUUUGCCUCUGUAAAAUUUGACCUAGAUCCAGAUUAGUAAACGAAGUUUGUUUCUUUUGCCGUUUGUCUUUCGUUGCUUCGUUCGAUUUGAUUUCUUUUGCCAACUGGAGUUCUUAAGUUGAACUUUCUGGUUAGAUCUCUUAUUUGAGUUUUACCUGUGCAUUAGUUGAGUAGUUAUUGUAUGCUUGUUUGUUUGUUUGCGUUAGAGUACCCGUUGUGCGCCGCUUGGUACUUCGAAUCCCUAGGUUUCACGGAUCAUCAGCAAGGCAAGUGACACUUUGAUCAUACCUCCUACUACCCAGUUUUUAUUGCAUUAGGUCAAUCCUCAAACAUUGUAUGAUUAGGAUCUAAUUAAAUUGUGGGUUUUGGGAAGUAGAUGAGGUAGUACCUAUUACCUGUUUCUUUAUCAAACCCUGGGAGUUACUUCUACGUUUGCUUAUAUUGCCAUGCUAUGCUAGUAGACGUGGAUUGGGUGAGUGUAUCCAUGACAGAUGUGAGAUUGUUAAUUAAUGGUUUAUUUAAGGUGGAAACUUAAACACACAUUUGGGUGGAUUGAGGCACCUGGGUAUUCCAGCGAUUGCCUGUUUUUUCUUUUGGACCGCCACCCAGACUCAAAGGGAUCAUGAGAUUAUUCAUGCUAGAAACUUCCGUGUGCAACCACAAGCUACUAUGGGCUCUAGCAUAGUUGAUUAAGUCAUGCGAACUCUUACAGUGGUAGACUAGUAGAUGUAGGGGAAAGUAGGUGUAACGGUCUACCCGAUCGUAAGGUGCUAGCGCUUCUGAAAAACUAUGUCUCGGUCAUCCGUUUCUCAAACACCAUGUAGUGCGAGAACCCCAACGGAGGAGAUCGAGUCUUGUGGGGAAAAGUGUGCAAACCUCUGCAGAGUGUAUAAACUAAUCAUGGUUAGACGUGUCUCCGGUUAUGGACAACCUGAGUAUCUAGUACCUGGAUUAUCAUGUGAAUCUCAUCAUGUUACUCUAAUUAAUUUUGUUGGGUUUUAAUGAUGAUGUUUAAUUGGGAUUGAGAGGGUGUCUACACUCUUUAUGUUUAACAACUACCAUGAUAGUUAAAUAAAAAUUUAUUCCUUUGCAGUAGGGAAAAAUUGGCUUUACGCAAAACUGUAACCAUAGAGCUUUCCACCAGCCAAAUAUGCAUGCAGUAUAGCCUUAUUCCUUCAUUGCUCUCUAUGUGUUACUGCUCCCCAAAAGGAUUAAUGCCAUCUGCGCUUAGACCAAACCAUACGUUCCUUGCGUCAUCUGCAAACUCCUUCCCGUACUUUCUUUCGAUUUUUCUCCACUGCGACCCGUUAGCGGGUACUCUCAACUUUCCGUAUUUCUUACGAUCUUCUCUGUGCCAUCGCAUCGCCUUGGCAUGCUCUUUGUUUUGGAACAAACGUUUCAACCGUGGUAUUAUAGGAGCAUACCACAUCACCUUGGCAGGAAUCUUCUUCCUGGGGCGCUCGCCCUCGACAUCACUAGGGUCAUCGCGGCUGAUCUUAUAGCGCAAUGCACCGCAUACCGGGCAAGCGUUCAAAUCCUCGUACUCACCGUGGUAGAGGAUGCAAUCAUUAGGGCAUGCAUGUAUCUUCUGCACCUCUAACCCUAGAGGGCAGACAGCCUUCUUUGCUUCGUACGUACUCUCGGGCAAUUCGUUGUCCUUUGGAAGCAUAUCCUUUAUCAUUACCAGCAACUUUCCAAAUCCCUUGUCAGAUACACCAUUCUCUGUCUUCCAUUGCAGCAAUUCCAGUGUGGUGCCCAGCUUUUUCUUGUCACCUACGCAAUUCGGGUACAACAAUUUUUUGUGAUCCUCUAACAUGCGCUGCAACUUCUUCUUCUCCAAAUCACUUGCGCAGUUUCUCUUUGCAUCGGCAAUGGCCCGACCUAGAUCAUCAACGGGCUCAUCCGAUGCCUCUUCUUCAGCUUCUUCCCGCAUUGCCGGCUCAGCUUCUUCCCACAUUACCGGCUCAGCUUCUUCCCUCGUUGUUGUAUCAUCGUAUUCAAGGAACCCAUGGCCAGGAUAGUUGUCGUCAUCCUCUUCUUCUUCAUUGUCUUCCAUCAUAACCCCUCUUUCUCCAUGCUUGGUCCAAACAUUAUAGUGGGGCAUGAAACCGAACUCAAACAGGUGGACGUGAAUGGUUCUUGACAUAGAGUAAUUGUGACCAUUCUUACAGCCAGCACAUGGACACUGCAUAAAACCAUCCGCUCGCUUGUUUGCCUCAACCGCAAGCAGAAAAGUACGCACGCCAUUAAUGAACUCGGGAGAGCAUCGGUCAUCGUACAUCCAUUGCCGACUCAUCUUCAAUACACAGCACCGAAAACAUCAAAUUAAUACAAUACAUAAAGUUCAUACAUAAAGAUCAUAUAACACUUAAAUGCAACAAACAAAUAACUCUCUAGCUAAAGAAUUUAAAUGCAACAACAAAUGCGAUCAAGAUCGCAACUAAGGUAACAAUUGAUCCAACAACAUAAUGAUACCAAGCCUCACUAUGAAUGGCAUAUUUUCUAAUCUUUCUAAUCUUCAAGCGCAUUUUCUCCAUCUUAAUCUUGUGAUCAUCGACGACAUCAGCAACAUGCAACUCUAAUUCGAUCUUCUCCCCCUCAAUUCUUUUCAAUUUUUACAUCAAAUCCUCGUUUUCUCUUUCAACUAAAUUUAACCUCUCGACAAUAGGGUCGGUUGGAAUUUCCGGUUCAACUACCUCCUACAUACAAAUAUCUACCUCCUAAACACGAAAUGCAAUGAAUAGUUUUAAAAGAGAAUAUACCACAUCCGAAUCAUAACCCGGACGAGGGCUGACGGGGACGGAUAUCAAAACCAUGGCACUAUGUAUAACAAACAACGUAUGGGUAAGAUAAUUAUACGAGUAACUAUAUAUCCAAAUCACACAAACAUCAUUUUUUUAUAUAAAACUUCAUGAACAAGAGGCUCACCACAAGGUGGUGCCGGCGACGGGACGUUGCGAGCGAUCGACGGUGGUUACGACGGAGAUUUAGAAGGUACUAAGUAAACCACACCUACAUAUGCAAACUAAGUGUUAUUUUUGACCUCAAAUUGCAUAUAAAUCCAAUACUAGGACAUAUAUAUAAUUCCUCCCAAAUUACUAAACUCAAAAAUCAAUCACUAUAUAAAGCAUUGCACGAGCUAAUCUAGCAAUGAGAGAUGAAAGGAAAAAGUUGCUAACCUUUGUGAUCAUUUGAAUGGAUGGGGGCCUUCAAAUCUUGGGCAAAAUGUGUGAUGAGCUUGAGAGGAAGAGGGAAAAGAACAUAGAGGAGAGGGGAAAGGGAAAGAACAGAGCGAGCUCGGGUGGACGAAGGGUCUAUGUAGGACGACCUUUAGUACCGGUUCGUGAUACGACCCGGUACUAAAGGUGCUGGAGGGGCCCCGGACUGACAACAUCCUGCCACCACUCACUUUAGUAACGGUUCGUGGCACGAACCGGUGCUAAAGAUUCGCCACGAACCGGUACUAAUGAGAGCGGCCCGGCUAGCCGUUGAAACCGGCACUAAUGUACACAUUAGUGCUGGCUCAAAUUCAAACCGGCACUAAUGUGCUUCACGUUUGACCAUUUUUCUACUAGUGGGUAAGGGUAGUGUUAUUAGCUUGCAUAAUGUAAUAGUAAAAAAGAUGUGAUGCUUUGAUAAAUCAAGUUUAGUCAAUUCAGGUUGCUCUUGAUAAGCAAACUGAUCUUAUAAAAAAGCAAAAUCAAAUCCAACUUAAUGCUUCGAUUGAUUUGGUGAGAUGUUGCAUCAAGGCUUAUCUUUCUGAGGCCAUGACGAGUCAGAAGAGUCAAAAUAUUCAAAAAAAAUUAAGGAAUUUUUUUGAGACUUGGUACAUACUUUGGCAAACCAAAAUAAAGCUAUAUGAAAUGUAGUCCUGGAGUGAACCCAAUGGUCAAAUUUUCUGGCUCCGCCCCUGAUCUUGCAUGUAAUUUAGAGAUGACAAAAGAAAUGUCUACAAUGGAUCAUCUCUUAGCCUUAUCUUCAAUAACUAGCCCUUCCUAAAAAUAUGGUGAGACAUAUUGUGCUAAGAGAUCAUCUCUUGUCUUCUCUCAAAUAAGAGAAGACAAGCUUUUUCUUAUGAGUUCUUUCUCCUACACCUCAUCAAUUAUUCUACAUGCCACUCUCAAGAUAGCAUCAUUGUACACGCCCUAGCAGGCGCUGCACAGGAAGGCGUACGUCGGUAUGUCCCGCCGCUGUAUAGAUAGAUAGAUAUAUAGAUAGAUUAGAAGAUAGAAUAGAUAAAAUAGAUAGAAGGUAGAUAGAUAGAAUAGAUGCAUGGCCCAUAAGCCACUGGUGCAUCCGGUGCACCAGUUUGGUUGUUCCACAGGAUAAUUUUCGUUCUCUGUUGCAUGUGCCCAUUAGUUUCUACUCUCACAUAUACGCACCCUGUACAUGUCCUACCACCAUUUCUCCCAACCCGGAACAGAAUAGAACAAAGCUAGCAGUCACUCAUAGGUAGCCACCAUGGACGCGGCCUCGGUGCUUCUCCCCUUCGUCCUGGCGCUGGUGGCGAUCCCGAUCUUGCUCGCGCUACUCGACUGGCUGCGCCUCCCGCCGGGCCCGUGCCCGUGGCCGGUGGUAGGCAACCUGCGCCAGAUCAAGCCCGUGCGUUGCCGCUGCUUCCAGGAGUGGGCGGAGCGGUACGGGCCAAUCUUCUCCGUGUGGUUCGGCUCCUCCCUCACCGUUGUCGUCUCCACGCCGGAGCUGGCCAAGGAGGUGCUCAAGGAGCACGACCAGCAGCUUGCCAACCGCACCCGGAACCGCUCCACCCAGCGCUUCAGCCGCAACGGCCAGGACCUCGUCUGGGCCGACUACGGCCCGCACUACAUCAAGGUGCGCAAGCUGUGCAAUCUUGAGCUCUUCACGCAGAAGCGACUCGAGGCGCUCCGCCCCAUCCGGGAGGACGAGGUCACCGCCAUGGUCGCGUCCGUCCAUCGCGCCGCCAUCGGCCCCGGUAAGCAAAGCAAGCAACCGAGAUCGCACCUUUUUUAUGUUCUUUUUCACCUCCGCACACUGACAUUACUUAUGCCAUGCAUUAUUGUUGCUGCUGCAAAUAAACUCGUACGUCGAGUGGUUGACGAAUUGCUUUCUCCUGUUAGACUCGUGUUGGGAUGGGAGUUCGCCGGAUUAGCAAAAUGUCUAACUGUUGUGUACCUUUCUUAGUGUCAAGCUUGCAUGGAAAGGAAAAAGAACCCCGCAAAAAAAAAGAGCACUGUUAUGCGACGCUUUGGAUCCGAUUUCAGUACCACAAAUAAUACGAGCCAUCCAUCGAAUCGUCGUGCUAAGGCCGGAUGCCAAAGCAUUGUACACACUGAUUCUGACAAGAAAAAGCAUUCAUAGCAACAUUUUAUAAGAUUCAUACCAUAAUUCUAAUUGCAACAUUCAUAACAAUAUGUUAUAAGAUUCAUUCAACAAAUAUAACAAGAUUUGCUAAAUGAAAUCAGUGUACAAUAUAUCGUUUGCUAUAGCGCGUUAUAGAUUCGCUAUAGUAGCAGAUUUUAAAGGAUGCGCUAUUUUGUCGUAGCACACUAUUUUUUCCCUUGUUAAUAACACAAUUCUAAUUGCAAAGUUCAUAGCAAAAUACUAUAAGAUUCAUAGCAAUAUCGUAUUGAGUUGAGUUGUAAAUUAAUUGUUCCAAUGUUUUUAGGUAAUGAAGGAAAGCCAUUGGUUCUGAGGAGUCACCUUGCUAUGGUGUCUUUCAACAAUAUAACACGGCUAGUUUUUGGGAAGCGGUUCAUGAAUGCAAAUGGCGACAUUAACGAAGAAGGGCAUGAGUUCAAGAGUAUUGUCAACAACGGGAUAAAAAUAGGUGCAUCUCUCUCUAUUGCUGAAUAUGUUUGGUACUUGAGAUGGCUGUUUCCACUUAAUGAGGAGCUUUACAAGACCCACAAUGAGAGAAGGGAUCACCUGACCAAGAAGAUCAUAGAAGAGCAUGCGAAGGCCCUCGAGGAGAGUGGUAGCAAGAAUCAUUUCGUGGAUGCACUGUUGACUCUCAGAGAACAGUAUGACCUUAGUGAUGACACAGUUUUCGGACUUCUAUGGAUAUGAUGGAUGCCCCUUUAUAUUUAAUUAAUAUAUCUUCAUACAGUACAUUUUGAUUUUAGUGUCAUAAGAUGUCCCAAUUUUUAAUGUGGAAUAAAAUAUCAAUGCCUUGUCAGUGCUCCCAUUAUUUGAAUAAAUGUUGCAUUCCCUGCCUUUUUAUUGCAUUGAUUGAUUUUUGGGAGAAGGGAAAGUUUAGCCAAAUUUACUAGAUAUACGUUUGGUGAGAUGCCACUCUCUCAAGGUUGGUGUAAGAUGCUGGGAUUGGAAAAUGCAUGUUUAUUUUCUCGUUACAAAUAAGGUAAUGCUUUGCGAAAAUACAAAGGUGAAGAUUUUUAAAAAAAAUCUGAAAUUUCGGGGUAUGAAACUUAGUCGACAAUUCUACUCGAGUGUGAAGUUUCGUGAUCUAUUGACACCUAUGGUAUUCUUAGUGAAGAAAAUACAAUUAGGACCAUACUAUUCAUCAAACAGUGUGUUUUUUAAUAUAGCUUCGAUUUUGUCAUUUUUGCCAAGAUUGCCAUGGAUGUGAUUUCUUCGUGAAACGAGUAUACUGGUUAGCUAUGUAUAUUAUAAAAAAAAGUUCAGAUUUUUUGUUUUUUCUAGUAUUUUUUUGAUUUUACUAUUAAUAAGGGGUGCGCGUCAGCGCGUGGAGCCAUGUUUACCAAAUCCGUGUCCAAUGCUUUUUUGUUAAAUACUAAUUGAUCACGAACUAUUUCCUCCUUCACAUAUUACUUGUUGGUCAAACAAAUGGAUUUAGCACUGAUAUACGUCUAGAUACAUUCGGCUGGGCGACAGUUAAUAUGAGAAGGAGGGAGUAGUAUUUAGCCAAAAAAAAUUGUCACACUGUGGCUCUUUAUAUUCGUAUCUUGCAAAUGCCAAACUUGUUCAUACUGCUAAAUCAACAUCAAAGCAGUACACGAUAUCUGCUAUGUACUGAAGUUGCAGCCUGAUAAUCUGUUGAGGGGGCCCUCUUGUGAUUUCUUUAGUGCUUACCACCCCAAGAUUUGUUCCUUGUGUUCAGGACAUCAUCACUACUGGAAUGGAUACAACAGUCAUAUCAGUCGAGUGGGCAAUGGCAGAGCUGGUCAGGUAUCCCAGGGUGCAGAAGAAGCUGCAAGAGGAGUUGGACAGUGUCAUCGGCCGUGACCGCGUCAUGUCCGAGGCAGACUUCCAAAAACUGCCCUACUUGCUAGCCGUCGUCAAGGAGUCCCUCCGGUUGCACCCGGCAACGCCGCUCAUGCUGCCGCACAAGGCCAGCGCAAGCGUCAAGGUCGGCGGCUACAACAUCCCAAAGGGCGCCGAUGUCACGGUGAAUGUGUGGGCGAUCGCUCGCAACCCCGAUGUGUGGAGAAACCCGCUGGAGUACAGGCCGGAGCGUUUCCUCGAGGAGAGCAUUGACAUCAAGGGUGGUGACUUCAGGGUGCUCCCCUUCGGCGCGGGCCGGAGGGUGUGUCCUGGCGCGCAGCUGGGAAUCAACCUCGUGGCCUCCAUGAUCGGGCACCUUCUGCACCAUUUCGAGUGGUCUCUUCCAGAAGGUACCAUGCCGGAGGAUGUUGACAUGAUGGAGUCCCCUGGAAUUGUCAUGUUCAUGAGCACGCCGCUGCAGGCUGUCGCCAAGCCGCGCCUGGACAAGGAGGAGUUGUACAACAGGGUCCCGGUUGAGAUGUGAGCAAGGUUUUGGAUUUUGAAUGAUGUUUUUUUCUCGCGGGGGACCGAGAUUCUAGGUUACCACGGUAACCAUGAAAUACUGGCAAAAUUUAAAUCAAAUCUUGAAUUCAAAAUUAUGUAAGUACCACUUAUAUACAUUAUUAUUGAACUUAAUAUAUUCAGAAACUAUCUGCUGGCAGACGGGUUAGGUCCGCAGGACCGAGGGUCGAACCAGUGGCCUAUAUAUAAGGUUGGACUCGAUAUGGAAAACCCUAGUUACCACUACAACAUCGCUAGUUAGGUAUGCUAUAUGUUUCAGUUCCUGUUGUGUCUAACUACACAUCGACCGUUUAAAUUCAUUUCUUUUAAGUUCCAGUAUUUGUUUUACUCGGUGUAUGGGUUUCUCAUGGGGCGGCGUGAUUUGCCGGGCGGUUUGUGAAAAAAAAACCUUGGAUGUGAGCAGCUUGGAAUGUUUGUUUGAGGAGUGGCUUGGAAUGUGUUACACCGUUGGGCAUUUGUCCCUCCUAAAAACAGGUGCUUGAUUGAGCUCAUGUUAUUGUAAACUGGGUAUUAACUUUCCUUUGAAAUCGUAAAGUUACAGUUUGAGACCGUUUAAACCUCUUGAUGGCUCUUGGAAAAGAUGCGCCACGAGGCAACCGCCGUCUCCGUCCCGUCUCCAUGAAGAUACUUUAUUUUGCCGAGAUGCCCCCCUUGGCUCUCGGCAAAUUGUUUGCCGUGUGCCAGAUGGAUGGUUCUCGACGAAAUUUUGUUUAUCUCAGAGGUGUAAGGCGAGAACUCUUUGCCAAGAACAAUUCUGGGAAAAGCCUUUGCCGAGUUUAUUUGGCCCUUUGCCAUGUGUUUCUGGCACUCGGCGUAAAGUGAAUUUAUAGUAGUGUUUGUUCUACUUUGAUUAUGUACUUAGAUGUGUAUUCGCAUAGAAUUUUGAUUUUUACUAAUGAUAAAAAAAUAGACAGUGUAUUUCUCCACCUAUUACCUAAUACUAUCCAUGUAAAUGAUGGUUGAAUACCGUGCUCUCGACUGAAACUUGGCACUGUGUUCACAUUUUAGGUCCUCUUAGGGCAUCUCCAACGUUGUAUGUCAAACUCCUCGUAACCGCACGGUCCGAACAGUUUAAACUCUACAAGGCUGUCCUCUAAAUGUCCGUGGACGGGUCCAAACAUCUAAAUUCUCACAAAACGGAAGCAAACCGAUAGGAGGUUUGCAGUGGCCGAACCUAUGCCACGUACACUACUGACUUCCUAGACCCACACAGCUUGUGGCAGAUUAAAUAACUCCGGCAAUGGGCAGAUUCAACUGGAUCUAUAUUGCGUCUUCUACCGGUACUUUUGUGUUAAAGACGACAAGGGCAAGGGCACAACAACCGGCGCUGAAGCCCAAACCGCCCAAUAACGUGUUCAGCCUCUCAGGAAUCCCCUACCGAGUCCAUCGUCGUUCUCCUCUAAAUCCACGUUGCUGAGCCACCCUCCGUGCCACCGCACCACGCUGGUGCUCCUUCUUCUAACACUGCGCCGCCUCUGCGUGACGACUGCCACUUCGAGUCCGCGGCACAUCGGUGCUGCGCAGCCGCCCACCCGGUUAGGCUGUGCACUGUUGCGCGCCGGCUUGCAAGAAGCGGCCGCAGGAGCGAGCAUUGCAGCUUCUAGAAGCGGCAGGCGCAACAUUUGUUCCGACACCCGGCACAUUAACCAUCACUUGCGCUUUAAUUGUGCAUAUUUAAUGUAUUGUUGGUGCUUUUCGUACUGCCAUACUCUACAGCCUGCAGAGAUGAACUAAUAUUCAUAUUCAGGACCUUCACAACGAGGUUGUUGCUUUAAGUUCAGUGCUGGGCUCAAUGCUUUGGCAGGAUUAAAUUAACAAUUUCAUACUCUACACUUCAUUUCUACAACUACAUCUUAAAUCUAUUCUUCCCUUUCUCAAAAGCUACAACUCUUUUUGGGAAAACUAUAUGCACAAGUACUCACUUGUGCAAAGAUUUACAUUCAUAUUUUUUUGCUCAUAUUUGUAGGUGUCACUUGUUAUUCAUGGGUUGUAUUGUGGCAUCUAGUAGUUCCGAAGACAGUUUUAUGCAUUUCAUAUGUUUUUUUUAUGUUUUUUCAUGUUUUUAGUACUGAAUUCCAUGAGUUUUGCCUGAAUAGACUUGCCCGAUUGCAUUUGUAAAGAAAAAAAAAUAGACCUUAAAACAUCCCAAAAUAAGUGACUCAACUUGAAGUUAGUACAAAGUUAAGUCACUUAUUUUGGGACGGGUGAAGUAUAAAUUAGUAACUCGCAAAUGACAAUCAUAUAUACAUCCAAGCAAACACUCAGUGGGAAGACACAGAAAAGAACAUCAUGCAUCGGCCGGCUCGCGGCCGGCUGAUCUUUUGAAAAGAUCAGAUAGAAUGAGCGCAAACAAUGAUCAAACUGACAUCCGUAUGGACCGUAUCGUCAUGAACAACCAUACAUAAAUUUCGUCACCCGUAAAUGACUAUCAUAUUUACAUGCAAGCAAACACGAAAUACCUGUAGACACUCAUACCUCGUCCGGACCAAGAACGAUGAAGCCGGCCGAAAGAGCAGACCUCUCGAACCUAUUAUUCUCGUAGUGCAAACACGUAGCACGAAGACGACGCUGAUCGACACUGGACGCCUCCGUUCAUGAUAUACCAUAACUAGCUACGAAAGCAGGGCAUGCGUGCAUGCAUAUACUACCUAGCCCACGUAACCGACCGACCGACGAAUUACGGCGGACCCGUAGUAUUGUACGGCCCAUCGCCCUGGUGACCAUGACCGGGGCCAGGGCUAUGACCGGGAGUCGUCUCCUUGUCCAUGGGCUCGACGGCGGGGAAGCUGCUGACGCCGUCGCUUCCCUCGGAAGCCCUCUCCGGAGCCGUGGUUGCCACUCCGCCCCUCGCGCAGUGAACUACCCCCGGCAUGGAGAUGGAGUGCGCGACCAGGAGGAGGGCGAUGGCCAUGGCGGCAAAGGUCGAAGCAGACGAUGAUUUGUUGGCCAUAUUGAACUUGGCAAGACUAGUCGCUACUAGGUUAUUGGUAUGAGCGUGAGUCGAGUGUUGAGAGGGUGGAGGCGUUCAUUUGGUGCCUUAUAUAGACGUCUGGUGAAGUGGUGAUUACGGAAGCUUAUUGAUUUUUGUUAGUGACGAUGCAAAAGUGUUAGCACAUGCAUGCAAGCACACGAUGCUUCUUUUCAUGAGAUGAUAAACAUAGUCGAUCAGAUGUUCCAUCUUAUUUAACAAACUGCUGGUCCAGCAUUCUUGGCGCCAGUAUUAGAAACCACCAGCAAGAAACGGUAAAAAGACGUGCCUAUCCGAUACAUCGUGGAGACAGCAUACUAUACCACCAGCAAGAAACGGUAAAAAGACGUGCCUAUCCGAUACAUCGUGGAGACAGCAUACUAUACUGUCACAAAAAAUGCCGCGUAGAUGUGGUAAUAUUCUGUCCAAGGUUUCCCUCAGAUCGAGCGCGUGGUGUUGUCACCUGUACCUAACCUUCUCUUUCGAACCUUGUACUCCCACUUGGACGUUGUUUAUCGUCAUAAUCAAAGCUCGUGGUUGCUUUAGAAUGUAAAGCCAUGGCUCCGGAAUCGUCAAGGAACUCCUAUAUGUCACACUCUCGUGUGCCCAUGAAUCACUUGACCAUUCUCGACCGAAUGUUACUUUAGGAACAACAGGUCUAUUUUCAGUGGCGGAGCUUGGUAGAAAUUGUUGUAUUUUAUCUACGUGGCAGAUGGAUCCCAAGGUUUUACACAACUUCUCAUGGUAAUUUCAAGUGAUCUACACCUUUUUAUCAUUUGUGUGUACAGCAUGGCUAUGCAAUAGUAUUGCAUUAUUUAACUGUUUUCUUUUGCGGGAGGAUAAAAAUAUUGAUGCGAAUGGUGGCUACUUUUACUAGGGUGACAAGGAUAUGGUAUUAGCAGCUAUCUAUGUUUUUGCACAAAGAACAAUAUUUUACCCGUGGUUUCUCUCAUACCAGUGCCGGCAAUUCUAACUAACCUUCUGUUCCGAAUAUUGAAAUUGCACUUCAACAAAGUUUAUCGCCAUAAUUAAGUAUCAUGGUUGCCUUAGACUGUAAUCCAUGAUUCUGAAAUCGUUAAGGGACUGCUAGACACGCCCGCGUGCCAAUCUCGAUUCUAGUUAAACUAGUAAGACCAUAAUAAGUUAGAUAAACGUGAAACUUAUUUUGCAGAACAGCAAGCAACAUAGGUAAACUACCACACACACAAUGGCUACUGAAGACACGACUCGAGGAGCUUCAAGAUUAGUGAUAUGACCACAAGCGUUAAACUAUUAAUGGGAGCAGUACCACACAGUUCAUAACACACACAGGGUUCAUCGUCAUCACCACACAGUACUUAAAUUCCAGUUUACAUAUCCGGAUGACACGCAGAGUUCAUCUUCAUCAUCACACAAUUAUCCACCCAAAGGAUCAGGCGCCCAAGAAGCUAGGCAGAUGAAGAUGCAGUCCCUUGAUGUGUGUUAAGGUUGCUCUUGCUAGUUCAUUCACCGAAUCACUUAGUCUAGCCUAUCGGAACACAUGCAGAGUUCAUCUUCAUCACCACACAUUUCUCCGCUUCACUAUCGGCCACUGCAAAAUAUUGCGCACGCGAGCUGCUCCAACAGACGUUGCAAAAAAUCGGCGCGCCAGAUGCGAGGAAGAAGAGGGUGGCGGGGGAAAGAAGGGGGCGGUGGGGCGCUUGGGUGUGCGGUUGACAGCUCGGGGGCGCGCGUUUUAUAAAGCACGCCGGACGCCGCGUGCCGGGCCGUUUUUUCGCGCGCGCGAUUCUUUGCCGCGCGCCGGAAUCUCCCGCGUACGCUGGAGCGCGUGAAACCGAUUCGCACGCGCUAAAACACCUAUAUACUUAGCGCCGCUGUUAGAGAUGCUCUAACGCCACACCGUCUACAAGGCUGCAAGGUUUGUGAUUGGAAAAAAUCAUCGAAGCUAGUUAUUGCUCUUAGACCUAGUCCAGUUAUGUUACAUCUCGAAUUCUUGAUCAAGCUCCUGCUUGACUUCGCGCGUGUGCGAUUCUUUGCCGCGCGCUGGAAUCUCCCGCGCACGCUGGAGCGCGCGAAACCGAUCCACGUGCACUAAAACACCUAUAUAUUUAGCGCCGCUGUUAGAGAUGCUCUAACGCCACACCGUCUACAAGGCCGCAAGGUUUGUGAUUGAAGAAAAUCAUCGAAGCUAGUUUUUGCUCUUAGACCUAGUCCAGUUAUGUUACAUCUCGAAUUCUUGAUCAAGCUCCCGCUUGACGCUUGUCCAUGUCGAAUAUUCGCAAGAUCUCAACUUAGUCUAAAAUUGUUCGACGUGAUUUUGUACUAAAGAAAGCAGAAAAUUUGAAUACUUUUUGUAGGUAUACACAGGAAAGAAUAUAUAUGUAUGCUCGCAGACUAGUGCAUGCAUGCAUUGACCUGAUCUCUUGAGUAUGUACGUGGUGCAUGGCAAAAAUUGCCUACGUACUACAUGCAGGCAUCCGACCUACUAGAGCGGCAACUCGCACGUCUAGGAGCGCAAUACAUACCGGAGUACGCAGCGGCCGCCACGACCGGCAUGUAUAACUAUGUACAAAAAUACCUGUAUACCGGCCAGCAAGCGCGUGUACAUACUUGAAUACCCGUACAAACAGUUCAAAAUAAGAUGAAAAUGGAUGAACAUCCAGGACGGCCGAAGUCACAUGUUUGGCAAAUGCACUGACCCACCUGCAGUCAGUUGAAAACUAACUAAAUACAUAUGUAUUAUUUUCUUUUGCAGGAGUGUGGGUCAAGAAGAUCAGUCGAAGGGAUAAACAUACGAAGAAGACCAACAUGUUUCCAUCCAUAUCGCUUCCAGGAAAAUCGGGAAACGCCCAAGGCCGCCGCCAUUCAACAACGCACACAUCCAUCAGGAGAUUCAUCCAUACCAUCACGCCGCAAGGCUACCGCAUCCAUCCAUCACGCCGCAAGGCUACCGCAUCCAUUCAUCACGCACAUACGUUCAGAGAAAAGACCUGCUAGCACCACAUCCAUCCAUUCGUCACCGGAGCACACAACCGGCAACCAGGCACACAUCCAUCAUAACUCACGCACGGGAGAGAUCCAUCCAUCCUUCGCGCAACACAACAUCUAUCUAUUCUACCACGCACACAUCCAUCCAUCGCCGGGCAAACCACUUUGCAAAACACCAGAGGCAAAUCACAUCUUGCAGGAAUUAACGCAGCCGCAACGGAGAUCGGCGGCCAUCCGUGCAAGGGCGGCAAGGACUUCGACGAUAUGAACACCAAGCUCAUGUUGCCUGAUGGUGAGAUGAUCGUCUAAUUACUUUUUCUUUUGUUUCUCUCCCUGCCAUCCAGCAUGCGUGCACUACACCUAGAGUAUGUGCCGGACAUCGGAGACGACACGCUUGUGUGAUCGCGUUGUCGCCGCCGUCGAAGACGACUUCACUGGACCAGAAAAACUGCACCGACAUCGUUGGGGUUUGUCUAUGCCAAGCCGUUCAUUUUCAGGUGUCAUGUUCUUGGCUGGAGAUUACUCAGGAGCAGCCGGAGCUCUCCAACGACGCAGCCCAACCGAUAGCCCCGGCGCCCUACCAUCGCAGCCUUCACGGUGCUUGGUGAACACCCCACGGUGUACAGGUCGCGACACACAGAUGGCGACAAACAAGGCCACAGUGAACAGGUUCAUGGCAAAGGGUACACCGGCGUACAUGCUUGGCAUCACACUCUUGGAUGAGAUGGCGUGGCGGAAUCGGAGCUCGCUGACGAUGCAGCCCGAGACCCGCCUUUUUCAUCAUGGCGUACAGGUUUCGCAUUACACUCUUGGAGGAGACGGCAUGGCGGAACCGGAGCUCGCCGACAACGCAGCCCGAGACCCGCCUUCCCAUCACGACGUACAGGUCCUUGGUGGAACCAAUAUCCGCAACGACGGGUCUAAGACCGGUUCCUCCUUCAUGAGGCCCGCAUCCCCGACGAACAGGUCAAUGGCAUACAGAUCCUUUACUGAACUGAAGAUUGCAACGACGCUGUCCAAGACCGGUCCCUCCUUCGAGAGGCGCACCCAUCAUGGCGGACAGGUCCUUGGUGUACAGGUCCAUGGCUUCGCCGGCGCACAGGUCACUCUUCCGCGUAGUACCAGCCCAAGGCGAUGCGGCCUUUGCGACACCACUUUCCACGGCCCUGUGAGGCGGCGCCUUUGCCUUGGCAGACCGCCAAAUACUUGGCGUCUAGCCAAGAUGAGGCGCCAACCACCCUGGCCAUGUCAAUAUGAGCGUGUGUCAGUUUAUUUUACACUGACGCCGGUCUCCCCAAACCGUUACUCCCGCAAGGCGUAGCCCCUUGAACACCCCGAUGAAGCAACAGGUCAUCAAGAUGUCUGAGCCGACCGCGACCCAUGCUACCCCAACACCAACUACUCCAACGCCGCAAAAACCGACGAGGCACGACGGCGAGGGCGGGCGUGGCCACCGCAAAGGCCACACUACUUGCGGCGCGUGUACCGACGAGGACACGGGCUCUGCCGCCGCCCACACACACCACCAUCAUCAUGCAUCGAGAACACGAAGCGAAGACGACGAAGACGACCACGCAGCUUAAUCGAAGGUAUCUCGCGGAGCAACCCGCGGGAGUAAUUAACCGGGAGCCUUCCGAGGCCCCGGGAACCAGGAGACCACGAUCGCCAUAGUCAGGCUGGCCGCGCUAGUAGGCCACGGAGCGCACUUUUUGUUUACGGGUUCUUGUACUUUUGUUUCUCCAAUGAGAUUAAUGAAAUACUCGUUUUCCGCAUCCUUUUCUUUGUGUACUACGGUACACUGGCACGCCCGCAAAUUUUCUUUUCUUCUUUUCCCCGGCGCAAGAGAGAAAUACGCUCCCCUUCCCUUCUCGCGGAGUCCCUAGAUAUUUUUCUCGUGUCAAACAAAAAUUAACCAUGCGCAACGCAUGCAGCAGGUGAACAGGCGCCCAAGAAGCUAGAUAGAUGAGGAGCUAGCUAGGGUACCGUGGAAGAAAUUGAAGUUGGAUGGCACCGAAGCAUGGACAAAACUGUGUAAGUUCACUGGAUAAGUGCCAAAGUGGGAGGUUCUCAGGGCUGGAAGGUCUUUGAAGUUCAAUGAAGCACAGGAAGGACACGACCACGUUGGGAUAGGUAUGUUGUGCUUAUACUUUUGGGCUGGAUUACUAACCGCGCUAGAAUUCCUCGAAACUCAUGCUCUGUUAGUGUUGUGUCAUUUUGCUUGGCCCGAGGUUUGGAUUGUGGCCAAAGUGCAUCUUACUAAAAUUUUGGUCAUGACUUAAAGAUUGAUCUUUAUUUGGAUGGUUGCCAAUUUUUUAGCAUGCAAAUGAACUUCAGCCAACUCUAGUUCAUUUUUCUUGUCAAUGUUGGCCAAAUCAUGGGCAACCAAAACCUCAACUAAACAUUUGGCUAGCCAACGCCUUUGUGAGGCAACCUCGGGCACAAACCAAACACCCCCUAGGUGUGUUCGUAGCAAGCUGUGCUUCUAUCCACGGGCGAGUCUAUGUAUCUCUUAUAGCAAGACAGAGGGCUGCCUCGCCCGCAUGCAUGCUACAAGGAGCUAGUUGUGGGACGGCCCAAUAGGGACAUGGGUCCUCAUGCUGACGUCAGUCGAAAUGCAUAUAAUUCAAAAAUUAAAUUUACUUAAAGAUUUUAACUAUGAAUUUGAACAAAUGUUAACAACGUAUAAGAAAUUUGUUAGACUACUUUUGUAAAAAAUUGGUAACUUUCAAAAAAAAGUUUGUGACAUGAAAAAAUGGCUGUGACAUGGAAAAAAUGUUUGUGACAGGAAAAACAUGUUUCCGUGUUUCAAAAAAAUGCAUGCAAUUUUUUUAAUAAAUGUGUAUGGUAUGUAAGAUAAUGCAUGUGCCAUUUUAAAGACAAUGUUCCUGCAUUUAAAAAGAGUGUACGAAAAACUUCUAAAAAAUAAGUAUGCAAUGUAAGAAAAAUAUUUGUGUAAUGUAAACAAUGUUUCAUACUACUAGAAAAUGAUGUGAUAUUUUAUAGAAAUAUUUUUGUGUUUCCAAAAAAUGUUGCGUCAUUUAAAAAUGCUUAUACAAUGUAAAAAAUGUUCUUAUAGGUUUAAGAAAUGUACUUGAGAUAUUAAUGAAAUAUUCAUGUCUUCCCAAAAAAUGUCACCGUAAUUAUAAAAAUUGGUUAUACAAUGUAAAAAAGUUUCCAUAGUUUAAAGAAAUUUUUUAUUUCCAAUCAAAAAGUACAAUUUUUAUUUCACAAAUGUUACUGUGUAAUCGAAAAAGAGGUCAAACCAUGUAUUUUAAAAAUGCACAUAAUGUAUUUGAAAAAUAUCCCACAUGUACCAAAAAUAUGAUUCAAGUGUGCGCUAAAAUGUACAAUGUGUACUAAGAAAAAGUAGAUAUGUGCUAAAAAUUUGACAAACUGACAAGAACAAAAAGAAAAACAGAGAAAAUUGAAGAAACCAAAAAAAAUUAAGGAAACAAAGUAUAACGAAGAAAGGAAAAAAUCCAAAGAAAACCAGUGUAUAAGUAUAAAUAAUAAAAUAAUAAUAAUAAUCCAAACAAAACAGGUGAAAAACAGGAAAAACUAAAGAAAAGAAAAAAACAAAGAAAUCUGGAGCAGAACGAACCUAUAGCGACGGACCAGCAGCGAGCGACAUACACUAUUAGGCUGACAUGAUAGUCGCGCGACCGUAGGUGAUUCCUAAUGGGAAUCGGUAUGGGUGAGACAUGUUUGUCGAGUUCUAUCCACACCCAAAAAUGGUUGUGCGUCGAAAUAGAGUGCAUUACAUACCGGGCGUACACCCCCAGCAAGCAGGCCGGUAGUGGGAUUGUACAGUUGAAUUGCUCCCACUCGGUUUUGUGACGCUUCUAGAAUGUUUUAGUGCGGGUUUCUUUCUUUUCUCUGCUUAUUUUUUUAUUUCUUUGGUUUUGUUUCCUUUUUAUUUUAAAACUUCAUGAACAUAUUUUAAAUUCUUGACUUUGUUUUUCAAAAUUGUGAGAAUCUCUAGAGUAGCAAUAUUCUUUAAAAUUCAUGAACAUUUUUAUUUUUUAAGAAUUAUUUUGUCAAAUUUGACACUUUCUCCAAAUUGUGAGCAUCUCUAAAGUGUGAUAUUUUCCAAGUUGUGAAGAUAAUUAACAAUUCGAGGAUUGAAUAUACGAAUAUUUCGAACAUUUCUGAAUUUUUUAAAUUAGUAGAUGUUAUAGAUUUUCGUGAAGUACUUUUAAUUUACAAACAUUUUUAAAUUCAUCCUGAAUUUUAUAUUAUCAAGGUUCUUUUGAAAUUUGAUGAACAGUUUUAAAAUUCAUGCAUUUUGAUAUUCUAUAUAAAUGUGUAAAAUUAUUAGCGAGUUUUUCAAAAAGUUGGUGAUUUAAAAAAAAAAUAGGCCAGCGAGCCUAGCGAGCCGAAUGCUAUUUGGGCCGCGGCCGAAGGCCAUCCGCAUGGGUGAUUUGGCAGCAGUUGGGUGACUGUAGCGGGAGGUCCUAUUUGCCGCUCUUCGCAACAGAUAAUUGGCCACUUUCUUAGAGCUCAAAUGACCGUUUGUGGUGCUCUUGCACUAACCGAAGUGAAAAUCCGUAAAAUGUGAUGCCUUCUUGCUAGUAAUCGAAAAAAGAUUUACCGUUCGUGAGCGAGUAUUGCUAGCCACGGGGGCCGAUGAGCUUUCAUGACUAAAAAGAACAUAAAUACUUUAAGAACUAACAUCACUUGUAGAUUCGCACAAUUUUUCAAAUUAUUUAUCUUCUAAAUAACUGAAUAUUUUUUGAAACAGAAACACUUUUCAAACUUAUGAACACGUAUUUCAAACACGAACAAUUUUCAAACUUGUAAAAACUCAAGAAUUUUUUGAAUCCGUGAACAAUUUUGAAAAUUCACAGAAAAUGAAAAACGUGAAUAUUAUUUUAAAAGUAGAACAUUCAUUCAAACUACUUAAAAAUAUAUAUAAAAACAAGAACAUUUUUUUGAAAUUCUAAGCAUUUUUUGAAAAAGGGAACAUUGUUAAAAAUUCCCAAAUGUUAAUGUGAAUUUGUGAACAACAUAUGAAAACAAGAACUACUUGUAAAAAUUUGACCAUUUUUUACAUUCCCCAACUUUAUUGAAAACGCAAAUAUUUUUUAAUUCAGGAUUUUUUUAAAAAUGGAAACAAUUUUAGAAAAAUGUAAACAUUUUUUGAAAUUUCCGAACAGUUUUCAGAAAACGAAUAUGUUUUGUAAUCUAGAACAUAUAAAUUUGAAUUCUUGAACAUGUUUUUUACACAGAGAAAUAAACAUCAAAUAUCAAAGACAUAAUGAAAAGAAAAAUAAGUAGAAAAAGGAAAAAGAAUAUCAAAAGGAAAAUGAAAAACUAAAGAGCUAGAAUAACCAAAAUUGGUCAGAUACAUUCUAGAAGGUUCCCAAAACUGGGUAUUCUUUUCGCUACCUACAAAAUGGGCCGACCCAUUUUAGAUCUCUAGCUCUCCUCUCUCUGCGUUUAGUCGAGACUUUGACGCAGGGAGGGUCAUAUAAGAUUUUUCGCCUAAAGUACCCAGGAGCUCCCUCCGAAGCUACUCCGAGGUUAAUUCUCAUGAAAAGGAAAACUAGUCCAAGGUUGUGAUUCGCGAUAAUCCUCUUUUGAGCCCAGGCUCAGCUGCACCCGCGUUGACGAAAAGAUAAAAAGAACUAGAAAAGUAAAAAAAAUACAAUUUUUUUGUGUGGUAGAUAAUUUCAUGCAUGAGCUCCGCUCUAAUUUUCAAAUCAUUUGGACAUCUGAGCAUCUCUCGAAAAAAAGAAAAAUUCAAAGGUCUGUACAAAAGUUUACAGUUCAUGCACUGUUCUGACCCGAUUUGUGUUUUUUGCUGAGAGCUCCUCAGAAGCCCAAAUGAUCUGAAAUUUGGAGCGGACCUCACGCAAUACAUUUUCUACCAUGCAAACAAAAUUGGAUUUUUUUUGAAUUUUUUUAGUGUUUUGUGAUUUUUUCUGACCCGGUACAGAUGAGUCGAGGCACCGAAACGCCGCACUCUGUGAUUCGUUGUUAUUCUCAACAAAUAGAAAAUGGAUUGAGAUUUGUGUUUGCACACGAACACACAUCAUCAUGUACUUCCCGCGUCGAGCACGAUACGUAGGACACAUCAUUCGAGGAAUCCCACUGGGAGCGCGAUACGCGCGCAAGGCGCAUCGACGAGAACUUUUGAGAUCCGAACCCGCACAUGUCUCGCAGAGACCCCGUCACGGAGUGUGGCGGCUACGGGUUACCCUAAGUCGGUCCAACUGCCCAUAGGGCCUCGAGGAUCAUUGCUCUUCAACACGAAGAACGAACGAAAAACGAGAUGUAAAAACUAGGGUAAAAAGUAGUAGGUGUGUUGCCAUUGUGUGUUUAUGAGGCGGCGGGACAUCUCAUACAACAAAAUGACUCUAAAUCCCGUCUAAAUCUUACCAAAAUUAAUCGAACAUGAAUUUUUCUUGGGCCUAAGACGACAGUUCAAUUCUUUAUAAUCCACGGGCUGCCUAUUAGCUCGGGGUAAAAUGACCCCAGAAUAAAUGUUUGGUUUGACGAGGCAAAUAAAUCUUAUGUUGAAUGUUAUUUCAUCCGAGGUCUUGAGGGUCUAAUCACCGACGCCAUGCAUCAGACAUGUAUUACACAACAUCUAGGGCGAGGCGAAUCCUUUCUUAGCUUUGAAGGUUUGCAUAUGACAUCUGAUUAAAAAUGGCCCCAAAAGCAAGUUAUUCGCCCUAACGAGGCGAUGGAAUAUCAUGUUAAUUAUUUAUUUCAUCUUAUGCCAUCUCGAGGGUCCAAUUACUGACGUCAUCCAACAGAUAUGCAUUAGAGACAAUGUUUGGAACUAGACGAAUGUUUUCCUAGCUUUGGAGGUUGUAUAUGAUCUCAGAUGGAGGGCAGCUCCAGUGCAUGUAGCUCCCGCUUGCGCAGGGUCUGGGGAAGGGUCCGACCACUAUAUGAUCUCAGAUGGAGAUGACCCAAAUAUCAGAGUUGUUAGUGUCGAUAUUCAACCAUCAUUUUCAUGUUAAAAACUUCUUCAUUUGAGGUCAUCUUAAUUAUGUGUUUUACUAUGCCAAAAUCUGAUGUCAACAAUUUGUUAGUUAUGUGAGGAAGAAGGUGAUCAACAAGCUAACUCUAACUUGAUUUUUAAUGAAUGAAGUCAAUCAAUGGUUUCAGUUUGCUAAACUUAACAGGGUUAUCAAACAAGCUAACGAGUGUUACAAGCGACCCAACUCAGUCCAUACGAGGUAGUACAAGCGCACCUCCUCCUGUAGUGCAGUAAAAUUGCCGACCUAGAGAAACGUUGCCAUGGCAGCCACAUCUGCCACAUGGGCUAAUCAGGGAGAAGGUCGUGUACUUGUGUUAGGCUGGUCAUAGUGGGACUAACUUAGUAAGUAACAUAGUGCAUUUUAAGACAAAUUUUUUUAUGUGGCAUAUAAUUAAUGAGGAGAGAGGUGUUUGGAGUAACAUAAUAUAUUACUGUAACAUAGCGCAACCCAAAGCAAAAUGAGUCUAUAAUGUAAUAAAUGCUAUCAUCUAUGAUACUCCCUCCGUCCGGGUUUAUUAGGCCUAAAGACAACUUCUCUUAGAUCAAGACACAUAAUAAUUUGCUCACAUUAAUUAUUCCAUUCCACUCCCAAUGCACUCUCUCACAUGCAUGCAGCCAAUGAAAAAGCACACAUGAAGUGUAUUAACUUUUCAGCCAUGGCACCAACAACAAUAGCUUUCAAUACAACCAAUGAAAUGGUUGCAUGCAUGCACCUUUCCAAUGCGGGGCCUUAUAAAAGGGGACAUGCUUGUGAUGCUGAGAGGCCUAAUAAACCCGGACGGAGGGAGUACUGCUUAUAUGUUAUUUCGCACUAUGAAGAUAGUAACAAAGACUAGUGUCAUAUGCAUGACACUAGUCUAAGUUACUCCCCACUAUGACUAGCCUUAUCCAUCUCCCAGCUUGCAUCGUGCAGCCGAAUCGCAAGUACGUGGGCCCCAACAGGAUCAAUCCUACUCCCUUCCUCCGAAAAUACUUCUCAUCAAAAUGGACAAAAAAGAUGUAUGUAGAACUAAAAUACAUUUAGAUACAUCCCCUUUUAUUCACUUUGAUAACAAGUAUUUCCGGAUGGAGGGAGUACAUAACAAGAGGCGCACUGCAAUGGUUCGGGCUGCUUUUAUCUUUCUAGCUAACACACACACACACACAGAGAGAGAGAGCAGUUAUUGUAAUUGAGCAGUGAAAUCAAUAGAGAACUAGUUCAUAACAAAAUCACGCCCUUACGCUCAUCCCAUGUAACAUAACAUAGUUUAACGAGCUUUGAACAAACAGACCUAAGCUAACAAGCUUUAGCAACCACUAACUCGACGAGCCGCAGCCUUAACAACCGAGGUAAUCCACCUACAGCAACGAGCCUCCGAUGCAAUUCUAUAGAAUUUUCGAAGGGUUAGAAUCCUUAAGAAUUUUCCUUAGGUUGGUCGUUUGAUUCAUAUGAUUGAAUCCUACAUGAAUUUUUCCUAAGGGAUCAUGCGUACUAUAUUUUAUUAAAAAUCUAGCAUCCGCUUCAAGCUGUUUUUACAAUUUCUUUGUUUUUUUCCUGUGGCAUCAAACACACUAUGCUAAUCCUAUAGGAGUGAAGCGGACAUGCCACUUCAAUCCAGUAUUUUUUUUCCUACUUAUGCAUUUUGAGAAUCCUGCGAAUCAAAGAAGGCCUUAGCUAGUUUUUCCAACCAUGUCGUUUUCCAAGCGAACUAGAAAAUCAAUUGUGGCAAGAUGUGAUUAGUGAGACGUGAACAUUGACUCCUCUGGAAAUUCAUUCUCUGAAACCGACGUGUUUGUCAUGCAGUAACAUACCAAGACAGAAUUGUAGGCCUCCGCCAGAAACAAAACAAUACAAAAGAUAUAACCGUGCUCAUGUAUGUAAUGCAGCUGGAAGAGUUCCUGAAGUGGAGGGUGUCCGGUCGUGUGGAAACACCUUACCUAGGCGGGCGGCUUUUGGUUUUGAGACGAAGUUGACACUUCACCCGAUCACCAAUCAGGUCCGAACUAUAUAUAAGAUAAGAAGAGCCUCCCCCAUUGCCAUCGUCAUCACACACACACACACACACACACACACACACACUCUUCACAAGUUCUCACUGUUUCCUGUCCCUCUUGAGUUGAGUCUCUCUGCUCCAUCCCGGCCGGCCUUUCCCCUCCUGACAGCCAGAUGGCCCAGGUACGCCAGUUUUAGAGUGUUUUCUCCCUCGAUCCGUUCAGAUUAUAGCAUGCCGACCGAUCGUGUCGUCGCGUCGGUGAAUCCUGCUAAGUUUCUUAGUAGAAUCCUGGGGAAAUGUUUGUUCACUCUUUGCUUGGUUGCCGCUCGCAGAAGGUGGUGCUGAGGAUUCCCACCAUGACCGAUGACAAGACCAAGCAGAAAGCCAUGGAGGCCGUCGCCGACAUCUACGGUAAGUUUGUGCCCCCCAUGAAUCCUUCCGUUGCUGGUUUGUUUGAUAUCGCUUGGCGGUUUGAUUCUCACAAGGAAGCGGGCAGAAAAAUCUGCUCUCGUGCUUCCCGGCUCCUGGCCGUUGAUAGUCAGUUCGUCUUUUCAUCGUGUAGUAUAUUUUUGGAAACACGGCCUUCUACACUUCUACCAAUAAACCGUAGCUGAAUUUCGCAAGGACGCAUGAAUUAUUGCUGGGCGAUAAUGCGAUAUUCGAUCGCGACGUGUGAUCAGACGUGGCCGGCCAAGUAAGUCAAUCUGUAGGGCCAUAAGCUACAUGCAUGCAUGUACGAUAGUACGAAAAUGGCUUUACUCUUGUGUUUGUUUGAUGAGCCAACUUGGUAGAACUACACAUGGGUCCUUUCCUCCUCCUCUCCUCCGUCCUACGUAUACGUGUGAGUGAGUGGGCAUGACUAGAUAUGUCGUCGGUCAGAUCCUCGCACAAAAGAUCAAAAUCCUCACACUAUAAUAUGCUUGUAAUCAUAGUGCAGAUCCAAAUCAAUAAAUGGAUUCUAAAGAAAGAGAGAUUUAAUCAAUUAAUGAACAUGAAUUCUAUUGCUUAAUCAAUGAAGAUAGUUUUGUUGCAUCUAAUCAUAGUCCGGAUGCAACCAAUCAACCAUCAUGAAUGAACUCAUUCCUUUUCUUUCUACUUGUGCUCGGUUGCAGGUAUCGACUCGAUAGCCGCGGACCUCAAGGACAACAAGAUGACCGUCAUAGGCGCCAUGGACACGGUGGCCAUCGCCAAGAGGCUCAAGAAGCUCGGCAAGAUCGACAUCGUCUCGGUUGGCCCGGCCAAGGAGGAGAAGAAGCCGGCGCCGGCGCCGGCUGCUGAGAAGAAGGGCGAGGAGAAGAAGGAAGACAAGAAAGAGGAGAAGAAAGAUGACAAGAAGGUCGACAAGAAGUGAAAGCAACCCAUUGCAGAAGGAGAAACCCAACAUCAUCACGCAAACGGCAACAGCAACAAAAAGUCUUUGACAUCUGAGGCUCUGAUGGAAUGCUAGAUAGCUAAUUAUCAUCUCCACUGCGAAACAAGGUCGCUUUGCGUACUGUACUGGUAUAGCGCACUACAGACAUCAAGUCAAAUCAAAUAUCAGAUCAGUGUGUGUGGACAUGUGACUCUGGGUUUGCCUGAUUGGUGAUGACAUGAAUCCUACUCUAUCAGCCAACUUCAGGCAAUUUUUCAGAAUUCAGACUACAUUGCAUGAUCUCAGUUUUUUAGCUGUUUGAACCUGAGCUGGCCUGUGACAGAGACUGGCUAUCUGCCACCUUCUGAUAGGAAAGAGGACAAGAGUUUCAGUCGUCGCAAUGGCGCGGCCAAAAAAAAGGAAGCAGUGUCAGUGUGGCCUUUCCCCUAACUCCAAGUUGCCGCAGGCCCAAGUAUAUCCGGCUUUGCUCACAGUCUUUGAUCUGUCACCAUUACUUCAAAAAAAUUUGAAACUUUUAAAUAUGUUUUGAUUUUUUCUUCCUUUUUGCAAAACGAGCUCCAUGGGGCUCGGCCUUUGCAACGCCACACUCCUAAAUGGCCCGACUACUAGGGCUGCCAAUUAAUGAUAUUUUUUAUUUUUUCAUAAACAUGAAAAACAGUGUAUUCAGUUUUUACACACUGAAAACUAUGAUCACAAAUAAAUUGAUAAUGGAAACUGUUUGCUUAUUAUGGAAUAGUGCCGUGCAUUUAAAAGUUGAUGUUCACGUACUUCAAAAACUAUUUACAUAGCUCCAAGGAGAUGUUCAUGUAUUCAAAUCAAAAUGUGCAUACAUAUGAAAUAAAUCCUUAUGACUUCAAUAAAUCACGUUUUUAAAGUAAAUGUUCACAUACUACCAAAAUGUUCAACUGUUUGCUAAAAAAAGAUGUAAACAAAAAAUAAGAGUAAACUUAUAAAAUUAGAAACAACAAAAAAUAAUCCCUGAUCAUGGGCAGUAUGAUUUGAUCUGUACUCUUUGCAAUGAGUGUAUGAUAGGGUUCACUCAUAAAACUUAUACCUCGCGUAUUGCGAAAUAUAGCAAGCACUUGCCGAUGUGCGCGUGCAAAAUUUACCACAACCCAACACUACUUGUUUUGGUUUUGAUUGUUUGUUGUUUGUUUAAAUUUCUUUUUAUUUCUUUCCGUUUUGUGUUUUUUCUUAUUUCUUGUAUUUCAUGUGUCGCAUAUUUACUCUUUUUUUGUUUCUUCUGUCUGACCAUUUCUAUUUAUUUUUGGUAUAUCAUAUUUUUUUGGUGACGUAUAUUAACACUACAUUUUAUGAAAACUCGUACUUUUAAAAUUAUAUACAAACACUUUAUGAAAAAGGUUAACACUUUAAUAAAAUAAAUGAAUUUCACAAAAUCAUGUGACUAAUUUUGUAUUAGUUAUAUUUUUUUUUCGAAAAUCAGCAUUUUCUGAAAAUUGCAUGAACAUUUUGAAGAGCUCUGCUUUUUGUAAUGUUGCAUUAUUCUUUGGGAAAAGUAUGUGAACAUUUAUUUAUUUAGAUAAACAUCUCUAAAAAGUGUGUGAAAAUGUUUUUCAUGUACAUUAAUACUUUCUAAAAAUAUGUGAACACUGUUUUAGUGAGAUGAUAAUUUUUAAAUACAUAGAUAAUUUUUGGUUACAUGAAUGUUGUUUAGAAAAUACGUGUAUAUUUAAUGUAGUAUCCAGACAGUUUUUAGAAGUACAUGAAUUAUUUUGUUUAGACGUGCAUGUAUGUUUUACAACAAAUGAUGUUUCAACUACCAAUAGCGGACAUAAGGCUAUUGGGUUGGCCACCUUGGCGUGUGCCAUUAACAGGUAUUUCUCCUUUUUUUUUCAUAAAUUGUGAAAGUAUAUUGAUCUUGCUAAUACUCAUGCACUUUCAAAAAUGUUUACAGAAUUUCCAAAAAGCCAAAAAGUCAAAGAAAUAAAAUGAAAAGGACAAACAGAAAAAAAUGGGGAACCGGUGGAGAAAAAAAGAAAAGGAAAAUCCGCAAUAAAAAUCAGUAGAAUCGACUAUAGCUACAGUUACUGCUCUCCUAGGUAGCCUGGCGCUAUGACGCUCUCGUCUGUGUGUUUCAGCGACAAUUUGUCUCAACAGGCAAAGAAUAAGAAAUUCCCUUAGUUUUGGGCUUUGUACGAAGCACUCCCCUAAGCCAACAUCACAAAAGAUAUAACAAGGCCAACAAUAGGUGGUGGCGUAUGCACUUGAGAAAGGAUGCGUGUGUGCUGAUAUCUCAGAUUACAACAAACUCAGCACACGCGCGUGCAUUACUGUCAGCCCUAGACUCCUCUAGAAGCCCAUGGUUUACACACCAUAUGUCGGUUUGUACAAAUUCCAACACUAUUCCUCAAUCACAACUUUAUCGAGUCGAGAUUGUUCCUAAAGUUCUCUAGUUUUGCUUGUUAGACAAUGGCUUUGGAAACACAUGUAGAACUUGUGCCGGGAUGCGUGCGUGUUGAUAUAAGGUGCCGGUUGGCUAGAUUACAGAGGAGUUCGGCUGAGACGUGAAUUGGGUCCCAAGUUAGCUAUAUAGAUAAGGAUCCUUUCUCUCUCCCAAUCAGAUCUGCAUCAGCCGCGUAUGGUAUAAGGCUGCAAACCGAUGAUUUCUACCCUUUAAGCUUGGCUGUGUAUGGUGAACAAAACCAAAAUCAGUUCACAAAGCGCCUUUCCUGACUGGACAAGCUUAUUUCUGACAUAUCUGACUGGAAAAGCUCACCCUUGGUUCACUGGCCUUGCUAUGGGCGGAUACAUCUUUUUCAUAGUAUAAAUAGACCCCUUAAUUAAGCUCACUGCCAUAUCCAACAAACUAUUUGUUGUAGAGGAUCAUCCACACAGCCAGCAGCCACAAUGGAAGCGAGCGUGCAACAAGGCAACUAUGUCCAAGUCUACGUCAUGCUCCCUGUAAGCACCAUCCAUUCAACUCAAUCUCUAUUCUCUAAGCACCAUGCACUACAACCAUUUCAAGGAUCUAAUUCACACAUGCAAUGUUGUACAUAUAAUACCGUUAUUCUUAAACACUCUAGUUCAAAGGGUGAAGUCAACAAGAUCUGAGGCCUCAAAAUGAGUAUUUUAUUUGUACUAACCUUGACUUCGUUUUUGUUGUGGAAAUAAAUAGCUGGACGCCGUGAGCGUGAACAACAGGUUCGAGAAGGGUGACGAGCUCAGGGAGCAACUGAAGAGGCUGGUAGAGGCCGGUGUGGAUGGUGUCAUGGUAGACGUCUGGUGGGGCUUGGUGGAGGCCAAGGGCCCCAGGGCGUACGACUGGUCCGCCUACAAGCAGUUGUUCCAGCUGGUGCAUGAGGCUGGACUGAAGCUAAAGGCCAUCAUGUCAUUCCACCAGUGUGGUGGCAACGUCGGUGAUGUCGUCAACAUCCCGAUCCCGCAGUGGGUGCGGAAUGUCGGUGCGAGUGAUCCGGACAUUUUCUACACCGACCAGCACGGGACUAGGAACAUUGAGUACCUCACCCUUGGAGUUGAUGACCAGCCUCUCUUCCAUGGAAGAUCUGCCGUCCAGGUUAAUAUAAACCACCACUCUAGCUCUCUCGUGCUUUUUUUUUUCAUUCAAAUGUGUGUUGUUUUGUGUAUUUAGAGAGAAAAUUUCAAGAUGAAUGCAAAUACAAGCAAAAGGCCAAAUGGUGCCAAAAAUAUAUAUCAACAGAAACGAAAUAUAUAUCAAGAGUGAAAAGAAUCUAGGGCCUAAUCACAGGAAGAACAAGUAGUUGUGAUUUUGAUAGGUACAAUGUGCUGAUGGUAGAAAGCUUUGAUUCUUCUUUCUGGCCGUGACAGAUGUAUACUGAUUACAUGGCAAGCUUCAGGGACAACAUGAAAGAGUUCUUGGAUGCCGGUGUUAUUGUAGACAUUGAAGUCGGACUUGGCCCGGCUGGAGAGUUGAGGUACCCAUCCUAUCCUCAGAGCCAUGGAUGGUCAUUCCCAGGCAUCGGAGAAUUCAUCGUAAGUGUUUUUUUUUUCAAAUAAAAAUAUUUCCUCUUUUGUUCCGACUAAUAUACUUUUACAUGUAACAUGUGAUGACCAAAGGCGGUUUAUUAUUGUCCAAGUGACGAUCUACAUUGGAAAAGUUUUCUCAGCAAACCAACACCGAAAUGAAAAGGGAUUCUCAUAAAAAACGCAAGGAUAAAAUGGCAAUUUCAGAUCAGAACAAGGCAUGGCUAGACCUGACUUCAUCAGUUCUCCUACCCCAUACCCCGAUCCCAAUUUUCACUUUUUUAUUUCUCCUAAAUAAGACAUCAUACAAACUUGACACAUAUGAACUACAAUAUGAGAAAAAAAAUAGGAUUCGUUUGUGCAACAUAAUCAAAUACUUCAAAUGAUAACUGUCUUGGGGAAAAGACUAAUUUCAUAUAUAUAAGCUACACCCAAAAAAAUCCAAAAUGGUUUUCUGCACAUUAAUUGUAGUCCCAAUUUUUCAUUGACCCGCAAUAUUUCAAGUUCAUAUAUUGCUUUUUGGAAGAAACAAAAAGAAGUAUCUAUAUGGUGAGAUUAGUGAGCUAGUGCAUACCUUGAUGCAAGGCAGAUGGCACAGAUAGNNNNNNNNNNNNNNNNNNNNNNNNNNNNNNNNNNNNNNNNNNNNNNNNNNNNNNNNNNNNNNNNNNNNNNNNNNNNNNNNNNNNNNNNNNNNNNNNNNNNNNNNNNNNNNNNNNNNNNNNNNNNNNNNNNNNNNNNNNNNNNNNNNNNNNNNNNNNNNNNNNNNNNNNNNNNNNNNNNNNNNNNNNNNNNNNNNNNNNNNNNNNNNNACAUGAAAUAAUUAAAAAAAGUAAAAUAAUCUAUACCAUCACCAUUAAAGACAAAAGGACUCCAUUUAACUGUUUUAACUAAUAGUACAAAUUAAAAAAAAUCCGCAGUGCUAUGAUAAGUACCUGCAAGCAGACUUCAAAGCAGCAGCAGCGAUGGUUGGCCAUCCUGAGUGGGAAUUUCCUCGCGAUGCCGGACAGUACAAUGACACUCCCCAGAGAACUCGAUUCUUCGUGGACAACGGAACAUAUCUCACUGAGCAGGGGAGGUUUUUCCUUGCAUGGUACUCCAAUAACCUGAUCAAGCACGGUGACAAGAUCUUGGACGAAGCAAACAAGGUCUUCUUGGGACACAGAGUGCAACUGGCAAUCAAAGUAAGUACCAUCAUCCUAAAUAUCUCAGUUUCUUACAAUAGUAGAUAGGAUUUGAGAAACCAUGAUUCAGUUGAGAAGUAGUGUAUGAUAAACAACAACAACAACAACAACAAAAAGUACACAAAUUCAUUCUAACACUCUAGGCUAAAGGAACUUGCAUUUCUUAAUCUAGAAUGUAAAUGAGACAUGGCCAAAUGUUUGGUUGCAGAUCUCUGGCAUUCACUGGUGGUACAAGGUUCCAAGCCAUGCAGCCGAGAUCACAGCUGGGUACUACAACUUACAUGAUAGAGAUGGCUACAGACCCAUAGCACGCAUGCUCAAAAGGCACCGUGCUAGUCUUAACUUCACUUGCGCCGAGAUGAGGGACUCGGAGCAAAGCUCACAGGCCAUGAGCGCACCGGAAGAACUAGUCCAACAGGUAGGUAGCUUGUGUCUCCAGAGUUUACGCUUAGACAUCUCUGAUAGACACAUCUAACGUACUUGUCGUCGAAAUUCUCAGGUGUUGAGUGCUGGAUGGAGAGAGGGCCUAAAUAUGGCAUGCGAAAAUGCACUUCCUCGAUAUGAUCCAACUGCUUACAACACCAUACUCAGGAAUGCAAGGCCUCAUGGCAUCAACAAGAGCGGCCCUCCUGAGCACAAGCUGUUUGGAUUCACCUACCUCCGGCUGUCGAAUCAGUUGGUGGAGGGACAAAACUAUGUCAAUUUCAAGACCUUUGUUGACAGAAUGCAUGCCAACCUGGUUAGUGCCACAACCCCUUGUUCAUGCAUGUCAAAAAUUAAACAGAGGAAUCAUUAAUUUGUUGAUUUGCACCGGCCUAUUACAAUAAUGCAAUUUGAUUCUUUUCAGCCUCAUGACCCAUGUGUUGAUCCAGUGGCGCCUUUGCAAAGAUCAGGGCCAGAACUGACGAUUGAAAUGAUCCUACAAGCAGCGCAGCCAAAACUGGAUCCAUUCCCCUUUGAAGAGCACACCGACCUGCGAGUUCAAGGCCUCGGUGGCAUCGGUGGGGAUGUUGAAGGCCCCACUGGUGGCAUGGGUGGGGAGGUUCAAGACCCCACUGGUAGCAUGGGUGGGGAGCUCCCUGCCACCGUGUAAUGAAACCUUUAUGAUCUACAGUACCUUUUAUGUUGUGUGUGACAGAGAAACCUUUCUCUGCCUUAUUAAUAGCAAUAAAUAAAGCACAUCACUUGUGCGUGUUCUGGAAGAAAAAUCUCAGUGCUGGAAGGGUUAAUCUUCUCUUUGUGAGAAUUAACCGUGCCCUAGAAAUAAGCCGAUGAGGAUAAAUAAGAUGUGGUGCUACAGUACAUCAUGAGGAUUACUCAUCAAUAUUGGAUUAGUCAUCAAGAGGAUGCUUUUCCAAUGAGCUGUAGUACAUCAGACCUUACAUACCUCCAUUAUGUGCAUAUGAGUGAAUGAACAAACUAUUUUGUGCUCAUUUAGCGAUUGUAUAUGGGUCCAUCAUUUUGGAUUGCAUGUUCACGAUUACCACUCGCAUGGCUUUGACUAAUGUUACGUGGUAAACUACUAAGUGUCCAAUCUACUUCGUUGGAUUUUUUGACCAUUUUGGAUCAAGAGUUUUAGAAAAAAGUUUCAUCUUCGUAAUCAAGCCGUAAAUUUUGUAUGUAGUUUGGUCGCAGUUUACGAAGCUACUCAAGACGAUCAUAAACUAUCUUUUCUUGGUGAACCGGUCAAUCCUGCUAAAGAAAUUCUAUAUUCAUUGUUCAUGGGUGGGGAAUUCAACAUCCUAUGGUUUCAGCAACGAUAAAAUAAUUAGUUUUACAGUUCUUUCUUAUUCAGCAUUGCCAUUGACAAUUUGGAUCUACCUGAGAUAUUUCUGGACAUCAAUUUACCUGGGCUAAUACCCGGCUAGAGUCGACGUUUGAAAAUAUGGGUCACGUGCCAAUGGAUGCUGGUUGGGAAUUGAAAUUUCUUUUGGUAACAAUACAUGAUUUGGUACGUACCAAAGCAUCGCAAUACACCGCUCAGUCAAGUUCGAAUGGUUUGUUGAUGUAGUCAACAAGGUUUUGGAUGGUCGAUGAUGGGUAGAUCGCCUUCCCAAGGGGUUAAAAAAAAUCCUCACUUUGCAACAGUUCCUCGCAUGGAGGGAGUUCUCCCACUGAAUCGAAUCUCUCCCGCGACCUAGGCUAGGGUUCCAUCCCCCGCGUUCCCGUCCGCCCACUCGCCCCCCUCCCGCCCCCCUCGCGCGGGCGAUGGGCGGGCCCCUGCCGCUCCCUCUCCUCCGGCCCCCCUCCCCGCCCCUCUCCCUCNNNNNNNNNNNNNNNNNNNNNNNNNNNNNNNNNNNNNNNNNNNNNNNNNNNNNNNNNNNNNNNNNNNNNNNNNNNNNNNNNNNNNNNNNNNNNNNNNNNNNNNNNNNNNNNNNNNNNNNNNNNNNNNNNNNNNNNNNNNNNNNNNNNNNNNNNNNNNNNNNNNNNNNNNNNNNNNNNNNNNNNNNNNNNNNNNNNNNNNNNGGCGCGGUCGUUGGCCACGUGGCGGCGUGGCGGUACUGGUGGCCGGCGGCACCGCGCGGCCCAGAUCUGGGCCCUUUCGGGCUCCAUCUGGGCUAGGGUGGGCCGGUGACUGGGUGCGCGGCGACGUUGCUCCCUGGUUGGUGGCGAGGAGGCGGUGGUCUGCGGGAGGUGGCGGCUUCGUCGGCCGGCGAGCUGCUGCGUGACGGUAGGGGCUGUCCGGACCCUUUUGGGUCUGGCCGGGCCUCGGCGCUUGGCAGGCCUCUUGUCCGUGCGUCCGUCCGGCUCCGCGGCAGCAUUGGUGGUUGUCCCCUCACGUCGGCGAUAUUGCAGAUGCCCUUGAGGCCACUAUCUCUUCUUCCGUCCUCCAGGUUGUGUUGGUGACCUCAGGGAGACGACGAAGUUGAUUCGGUGUCCGUGGUGGCACAUGUUGGUGGGCGGCGUGAUGGGCGGUGCACUAUGAUUCGUCUGGGGUGGUGGUGGGGGUUUGGGUUGGGAGAAAUCUCUGGCGGCUCGUUCGGCCCCAACGCGGCGAUGCCUGUGGGUGCCGUCGGACCUCCCUGAAGGGCGUCGGGUACGCUCUCCCCCCACUNNNNNNNNNNNNNNNNNNNNNNNNNNNNNNNNNNNNNNNNNNNNNNNNNNNNNNNNNNNNNNNNNNNNNNNNNNNNNNNNNNNNNNNNNNNNNNNNNNNNNNNNNNNNNNNNNNNNNNNNNNNNNNNNNNNNNNNNNNNNNNNNNNNNNNNNNNNNNNNNNNNNNNNNNNNNNNNNNNNNNNNNNNNNNNNNNNNNNACCCUAGGACUAAUCCGGGUAACAACGGCGUCGUCGUCGCCUCCUUCUUGAAGGUGUUGCUUGGUACGCGGCGCUUCAGAGUGCCGGGAGCGUGGUGGUACUUCUCCGGAGGGUGCAGCGGUCGCCGGUCGUCUUCGUUUCGUUGAUCUGCCAUUGUUGGCAUUUCUUUCUCUUUCUUUUUUCUCUGUUUUUCUUUGGGCUUGUUUGUGCUGCGGCCCCAACACCUAUCGUUGGAUGUAUCGAUGGUUGCUUUGUAAUACAAAGCAAGGAGAAACCCUUUUUCGUAACAGUUCCUCGCAUGAUAGGAAGUAAACACCACGGCAUAUACUAUAAAAAAACGCCCAUAUCCGACCGGGUCCUUUAACUAUGGCACAGCCCAUUAGGACAUACUUUUAUAGUAUGUAUUUUUUAUCUUCAACGUGUUAAAAUAUUAUUAUAAAUAGAUUUAUAACAAAAAGUUUUUGUGUACUGGGAACAAGUGUAGUGUGUUUUAAAAUAAAUGUGCAUGACGUCAAAAACGAAUGUUUACAUAGCUCGCUAGGGAUGUUUAUGUAUUCGUGAACAAAAUGUUAAUAUGUAUAAAAAAGGUUAAUGACUUCAUAAACAGUUUUAUGAACUUCAAAUAUUUUUUCUUAUAUACCUUUCUUUGCAAUGAAUGUGGAAUACGGUUGACGGGGAGUUUCGAUAUGACGGCCUUAAGCGGGAACUGUUGGAGCAAAUGUCGAAAGUAAAUCUCCAUAAUUAUAUUUAGUCUGGAAAAUGGUUUUAAAUUUUAAACGUAUGUGUUGCAAAAAAAAAAAGUUCACCUAUACGAAUAAUGCUCAUGUAUCAGGAAUACAAUUUGGUGACGAAUCAUAAAAAUAUAUUUCCAUAUGUGAGAAAGCAUUCACUUAUUUCAAGCCAGGAUGAUCAUGGUAUGGAAAUGUGACAUAAAGCAAUGUUCAUGUAUAAGAAAAAUUGUCCUCAUAUAUACUGUACAACUCCUUUUUUAUCGAGGUGUCGUGAGCUGCUAUGCGUAUAGGAAUUUGCCGAGUUUAAGGGCUGGCCGGUUGUUCUGCUCCUAGUUUUUUUGUGGCACAGUAUAAUCAAAGUCCCUCACAUACACGAGCAUAUAUCUGCCCUUAUGAACGCACACCAUAUCCCUAUAAGCAUCUUAAAAGACUGAGUUGGCAUAACAUCUUGAGAUUUCACAUAGUCACCACAAGCGCCUCGCAGUUGACGGAAAUGUUUCCUACGGGUUUACGGGCUGGCCGUUUGUUUUGCUCGAGUAAUGCUACAUUCACGGAUGAUUAUGAGGGUUUUACAGGGUCAUUAUGACUUGGCAAAUGGUUAUUGAGUUAAGGGGGAGGGAGGGGCCCCACCCACCUGAACCUCCCCGUAAUCAUCUGUGAAUGAAUUAAUGCUCCCCGAAAAAAAAAACAUCCGUGAAUGUAGCAUUAUUAAUUCUACUCCUCGUUUUGGGUUGAGAGUGAUGGCUCGUAGGAGUUUAUCGGUCCCCGGAAGAAUCACUCUCCCGGCAUGAUGGACCCUAGUUUCUUAGCUCUGGCGGCGACCCAAAAUGAUGCCUCCCUUUUGAUGUUGUCGAGAAGAACCGUAGGCGGAGCGGCCAUGUUGCGGAAUACACGGGCGUUUCACCCGUUCCAGAUCGUCCAUGUAGUGAGCAUGGUGAGCGAGGCCAUGGCCUUCCGGUUGGGGACGGAAGUAUCUGUCAACCCAAGCCACCAGUCUAAGGUGGAAUGCCUUAGGGGCCAAGUGGAGGUGUCAACGUGAAUGAGUUGUAGCCACACCUUGACCAAGCCCCAUAGGCGAAUGGUGAAACGGCAUUUGAAGAAGAGAUGGUUAACCGACUCAUUCUCACGCAUGCAUAAGGGGCAUGAGCCACAUGUUGGAAAUAUGCCCUAGAGGCAAUAAUAAAAUGAUUAUUAUAUUUCCUUGUUCAUGAUAAUUGUCUAUUAUUCAUGCUAUAAUUGUGUUAUCCGGAAAUCGUAAUACAUGUGUGAAUACAUAGACCACAACACGUCCCUAGUGAGCCUCUAGUUGACUAGCUCGUUGACCAAAAGAUAGUCACGAUUUCCUGACUAUGGACAUUGGAUGUCAUUGAUAACGGGAUCACAUCAUUAGGAGAAUGAUGUGAUGGACAAGACCCAAUCCUAAGCAUAGCUCAAAGAUCGUGUAGUUCGUUUGCUAUAGCUUUUCCGAAUGUCAAGUAUCAUUUUCUUAGACCAUGAGAUUGUGCAACUCCCGGAUACCGUAGAAGUGCUUUGGGUGUGCCAAACAUCACAACGUAACUGGGUGACUAUAAAGGUACACUACGGGUAUCUCUGAAAGUGUCUGUUGGGUUGGCACGAAUCGAGUCUGGGAUUUGUCACUCCGUAUGACGGAGAGGUAUCUCUGGGCCCACUCGGUAAUGCAUCAUCAUAAUAAGCUCAAUGUGACCAAGUGGUUCAUCACGGGAUCAUGCAUUACGGAACGAGUAAAGAGACUUGCCGGUAACGAGAUUGAACGAGGUAUUGGGAUACCGAUGAUCGAGUCUCGGGCAAGUAACGUACCGAUUGAAAAAGGGAAUUGAAUACGGGAUUGAUUAAGUCCUCGACAUCGUGGUUCAUCCGAUGAGAUCAUCGAGGAGCAUGUGGGAGCCAACAUGGGUAUCCAGAUCCCGCUGUUGGUUAUUGACCGGAGAGGCGUCUCGGUCAUGUCUGCGUGUCUCCCGAACCCGUAGGGUCUACACACUUAAGGUUCGGUGACGCUAGGGUUGUAGAGAUAUUAGUAUGCAGUAACCCCGAAAGUUGUUCAUAGUCCCAGAUGAGAUCCUGGACGUCACGAGGAGUUCCAGAAUGGUCCGGAGGUAAAGAUUUAUAUAUAGGAAGUCCAGUUUCGGCCAGCGGGAAGGUUUCGGGGGUUACCGGUAUUGUACCGGGACCACCGGAAGGGUCCCGGGGGUCCAUCGGAUGGGGCCACCUAUCCCGGAGGGCCCCAUGGGCUGAAGUGGCAUGGGAACCAGCCCCUGAUGGGCUGGUGCGCCCCACCCAAGGGCCCAAGGCGCCUAGGGUUGGAAACCCUAGGGGGCCGUUGCCCCCCGAGGGGGCAUGCGCCCCCCUGGUUGGAAACCCUAAGGGGGCCGUUGCCCUCAGGCCCCCCCUUUUAGAUGGGAUCUCCCCCCUAGCCCCUAUAUAUAGUGGAAGGGAGGGAGGGCAGCCACACCUUGCUCUUGGCGCCUCCCUCUCCCUCCGUAACACCUCUCCUCCCCGCUUGUGCUUGGCGAAGCCCUGCCGGGAUCCUGCUGCAUCCACCACCACGCCGUCGUGCUGCUGGAUCUUCAUCAACCUCUCCUUCCCCCUUGCUGGAUCAAGAAGGAGGAGACGUCUUCCCAACCGUACGUGUGUUGAACGCGGAGGUGCUGUCCGUUCAGCACUUGGUCAUCGGUGAUUUGGAUCACGGCGAGUAGGACUCCAUCAUCUCCGUUCACUUGAACGCUUUCGCUCGCGAUCUACAAGGAUAUGUAGAUGCACUCCGAUUCCCCUCGUUGCUAGAAUACUCCAUAGAUUGAUCUUGGUGAUGCGUAGAAAAUUUUUAAUUUCUGCUACGAUCCCCAACACCACAGUUAGGCCAACCGCGCUUGGCCAAUCGGUCCAGACUCUAUUUUGGAUGGCCAGCCAAGCAAAGAACUUGACCUUGGGUGGAGCCCAAAUUUUCCACACUGCAUGCUUCAAGGGAGAGCGAAUGAGGCCAAGAAAUUGCGCUUUGUAGGCGGACUCCGCCGAAUAGAGGCCACUAGUAAAAUGCUUCCAAACAAUCUCGUCGUCAAUAUCCUCAUGUAGAUGGAAAUCCCGGAUGGUGGCCCAAAGCUCGAGAAAUUGUCUGAAGUGCUCUAUAGAAAAACUGGACGUCAUCUUGAUCUGUUUAACCCAAGCACCAUCCUUUAGUGCUUCCCGCACCUUCCAAUUCUUACGCCGCGUAGAUGAGAGGGGCCAUAUCCAUGGGUUUGCGGUUGUGCACCCAUGGAGAGUCCCAAAAGGUGGUGUGCGCGCCAUUUCCCACGAUAAUAAUUGAGGAGGCAUAGAAGAAGUUGUAGUCCGCGUUAUCGCACGGGUUGUCCAUGCCAACCCACAUUUUAGUUGGGUCCUUCCAUUCAAACCAUACCCAACGAAGCAUCAGUGUCCUAGCAAAUUUCUCCAUGUUUAGCACUUUAAGACCCCAAUUGGCAAUUGGGCGGCAAACGGUGUCUCAAUUAACAUUGCAUUUGGCCCGGUGGUCUUGUCCGUUCCCUCCCAAAGGAACGCUGGCUCAAGCUUGUUGAGAUUUUUGAGGGCGACUUCAUCGUGUGGUACAGUGAAAACGUACGUUCCAUGCUGUACACGGCGCCAGAUAUGGUCUACGUCAGGUCCAGGUCGUAACAAGAAACGGAAACACGAGGCGACGAUCGCGUUUGGAAGGAUGCGCAUGAAUGGACUAGCUUUCGCCUACCGCCCACCGAGCGGCGAGAGCGCAACCUACAUCGACCAACUACCCAGCUGACCUCUACAGACCGGACUUGAAUGUAUGCACUACCUACGUGCUACGUCGGCGGCGAUGGCCGCGUACGCUGGCUACGUGCCGCAUGCAUGGCGAGCUCGGCCCGUGCGUGGCCAGCUAUAGAUACGUACCCCAUGAGUCCCUAGAAACACCUGCCACUGCGAGAGCGAGCGUGUGAGUAGAUCGACGACGAUGACAGACAUGGCCGUGAUGCUGGUGGUGCUGGUAGUGCUGGCCUCAGCUAGGCUAGUUACUCUAGCUGAGUUAGUUCUGUGGUACGCAAGUAUGUUGGUAUGAUCGAAUAAAACGAUGGUGAUCUACGGCGCCAGGCUGCUGGACGCGUCCGACUGCAUCUUGGAGCAGCGCCGGACGGCCCCUCAUAUGUCCUGCCGGACAGGCACUCUCCUCGUAUGGCAAAAUGAAAUUCAAUGUCCUAGACACGGCUGGAUAACGUGAUAAAUCACUCGCCACACGCCAUCCGUGCCGCAUGCUCUGUCAGCAUCCGUGUCGUGUGAUCUAUUGCCAUCCGUUACGCCAACGCCGCCUUGAACUCUCUAUGCAUGGUGAUCUCCUUCUUCCUCCUCUCAAGUCACUUCUUGCCUUCGGCAUCUAAGAGGCUUGCGUCCGUUAAUAUUAUCAUAGAAUCCUCCGUGUCUUGAGCCAGCUGCAACCUCUCCAUUUCAAUCUCUACGGUUCCAAAAGUUCAGGCUUUCUUGAGCUCCCAUUUUGGACACACCUCCUUCUUCUCCAAACUAUCCUCUCCUCAAUUUCUAACUCUCGUUGCUUUACUGAAAAAGGCUUUCGCCCCGCUUUAUAUAUAAAGCAAAGAUUAUCAACAACCCGGUACAACGCACGCCACCAGAAUACACGCACACACCCAGGGCAGGAUACAUAGGCGCUGAGCGCAGCAACACCACCCAUAGCACUACAAUAGCAACCGGGGGCCUCAACCGUGAACACGCCACCGCGAAGAGAAGAAGCUACAUACGAUGAACCGUGGGCUCCAAAGCGGUGCCAACAGGAAGGUUACGACACUGAAGCGCCGCCACCGCCCGACCCAAGGAUCAGGGUUUCCCCUGAAGCAACACGACGGGCAGUGAGAGCCGCGUAGACGCCUUCAAGAAGGGAACGAGCUUUGCCGUCGCUGGUCCGUCCGAAGAUAGAACAUGUUUUCACCACCACCGAACGUCACACCCUGGCUACCAUGCCGCCCACACGGCCAUGGCCACCAGGCAGCACCAAGCCACGAGCUUUGCCCAUGAGCACCGCGACACCACCACCAGGGCCGCCGCCCCGGCAUCCAGGAUCUCGAUGCCACCUCACCCACCACCCACCUCUACCCCAACCAAAGAGACGAGUGGAAAGGAACCGCCUUUCGUACCCCUGAGCAGUCAACGGGCAGCCCCGAGCCAGCGCCACCAUCCUCGCCGCCAAGGGCCGCCGCAUGCAAGGUCGGCCGAAGCCCACACCGCCGCCAGCGCCACCACCAGCACGAACCACCACCACCGCGCCGCCACUCCACCGACCACCGCAGAGACGGCUUCCCACAAAGUACCCAGCCCGCGCCGCCCGCCAGAUCUGGCCGCCGCUGCAACAGCCGGCGUCAGUGCAUGGACUGGCACGCCCCGCCCCUGCACAGCCCACCUCACCGCCAGCAAGGCCCCGAGCUUCCUCCACGCCAACCCACCACCACGUCCCGCGCACCGCAGCGCCCAAGACCAACAUCGCCGGCCCGCGCCAGCCCCUGACGAGCGAGGGGGUGAGAAGUGCCCGCCGCCGCCGGCCAGGCUUCGCCCGGCCGCGCCCUUUGGCGGCGGUGGGAGGGGGAGGGAGAGGCGGGCGGCGGCUAGGGUUCCUCCCCUGCCGCCCGCGGGAGCGCCAGAGGAGGAGGAGGUCGCGUUGACAGUUGUAUUUUGGGCCACUCAUUGCUUUCAUUUGCAACUUAUUGUUUAUCUUCUUCCAGUCCUAAUCCAUCCUCUCUUUAUUCACAGACAAGAUGAGUUUGUACCUCUCCUCUUUUGUGUCCCCCCUUGUGGAAAACUGCGUGCCCAUGUGAUGGACAUUUUUGAUGUCGUGGCAUCACGAACAAUCCUACGCUUCUCCUGAUGAGGUCACCUACUACAGGUAGGGUCAAGGACCUGUCAUAUGGAACCCACCUAGGGCCCCACACCAUCAUCGGUAGGUCUCUGGACCAUAGGUGCAUUCGGAUGCGUAUAACAAAAAGUCGAUUCGAACGCACGGACAUCACUCGGAUGCCUACCCUCCAAUCGGCAUGACCACCACCACUCGGACAAGGGAGGUGGAAGGAUGACAUGGGAGCUGCAACGGUCGAGUAGUCUUAAGUCGAACUUUAAGUAGAGUCAUAGCUACCAUUACAUGUAGCUAUCAUUGAUGGGGUUAUGUACCUAGGGUAGGGUCAUGGACCUGUUCCAAGUAACUUACCCUAGGACAUCCCUAGAAGAGGUCGCCUUCCAGUCGACCAACGAGGAUUCACUCGACUGGCCUGAAGGACUCGACCAUGAAGACUCACUCGACCACCAGGAGGUCAAGAGGCACUCUGCACCGCAACGGCCUGUAAUUAAGUAGACUUUAUGAUAGUAAAGGCACUUUAUGUGGGGCGUUACCAGUAACGCCCCAGACUUAACUCACCUUAAACCCUCUCCUACGUGGGCUGGCUGGGGUCCUGGCGCACUCUAUAUAAGCCACCCCCCUCCACAGGCAGAAGGGUUCGGCACCUUGUAAUCCAUACAUUCAUAAUCCACUCGACCGCCUCCGGGCUCCGAGACGUAGGGCUGUUACUUCUUCCGAGAAGGGCUUGAACUCGUACAUCCUUUGUGCUUACAACCUCUCCAUAGCUAGGACCUUGCCUCUCCAUACCUACCCCCCACUCUACUGUCAGGCUUAGAACCACGACAGUUGGCGCCCACCGUGGGGCAGGUGUUUUAGCGAUUUUGUGGAGAAGUUGCGAUUCUUCCGAGUACUUUCAUCAUGGUGUCUGCUGGAAUUUUGGUCGAGGGUCAAGAGAUCCGUCUCGGCGCUCUCGCCUUCAUCGCCGACGACUCCGCAUGGCUCCAGGAGGCUCCACUCGACGUAGAUGCGCUCCCCGUCCGCGGUGCGACGCAUUUUCGCGCAUGUGUCCGCGGCGUUCUGCUGCGGCAACCAUCGACUCAGUAUCGGUCGGCUCCUCCAUCUUCCACCCUCCCGGUCUCCCGCCAGCGCAAGCGCUCAGGCCGGUCGAGGCUUCAGCGAUGGGUGAGUCACGCGGUGGCUCGCCAGUCAGCCACUACACAAGUUGCGGCAAUCGAGCCCAACGAAUCUCUCUACGGCUUGUUCGAUCAGUCGACUGGCUCCGGAGAGACUGCAUCCGAGUGCGGAAGCAGUGAUCCAGUGGCGGAAAUCUUGAUGGUCGACGGGCCCCACAGUCCUCCUGGCUUCGCCCGUGGUGGUGGAGCAGGCGACGGCGGCGACCCUGCACGAGGCUACGAAGAGUACCAGCCCGAGCCACUCGACUCUCUGCAAAGAGAAGAGCUUCGCCGCAGGAACGAGGAUCCCCUGCGUAUUCCCAUCGCAGGAGAAACCCCCGAGGCUCGUGCCUUGGAGGAGGCGCGUCUGGCCAAUUUGGCCGAGCGCACUCGACUGGAGAACCUUCAGCGAGCACUCGACGAGCGCGCGCGGCAACGAGUUCCCGACACCAGUCGACGUCAACUCUUCCCGCCGACUCAGGUAUAUCGAACCCCAAUUCAGAAUUUAGCAGCUGCGACCCGUAUAGCAGAGUCCAUUCAGCCUUCGCAGUCGGAAGCUGGCAGAGGUUUGCUGCAAAUCAGGGAUCUGCUCCGGGCAGCAGGAGAUCAGAAUUCAGCCGUGUCUCAGUCGCGCAACAGAAUUCACAGUCGAUCUGUCACUGUGAAUACGGUUCAGUCGGCUCACAGCCCCAGAUCGCCUCCGCGGCGCGAAGGGCGUGAGAAUCGGCGAGAUCAAUAUGGCGACAGACUCGACCGAGAUGAUAGGCGUCGAGUGCCCUAUUCCCCUCCGAGGGGUGGGUCUUACGCUCCUCGGCAGCCAGAUGAUAGGCGUCAGUACAGUACAGGGCGUAGGGUUCCAGUUGACCCCAGAGAGCCAGGCUUCGACGCGCGAUCCAUUAUCGUGCAAGGGUUGGUCGACCGGAACAGAGCCCAUCGAGGCGCACUCGACAGAGAUGUGCCCACGAGCAGUCAAGUACAUGUUUCUGGUCCUGAAUGUUUCAGCAGAGCUAUCAGAGCCGCAGUUAUUCCCCCCAAUUUCAGGUUGGCAACAGGAGUCAGCAAGUUCACUGGUGAGUCUAAGCCUGAAACUUGGCUUGAAGACUACCGAGUGGCAGUUCAGAUCGGUGGUGGGAACGACGAGGUGGCCAUGAAGCAUUUGCCCCUCAUGUUGGAAGGUUCUGCCAGGGCAUGGUUGACUCAAUUGCCUCCUAGCAGCAUUUACACUUGGGAAGAUCUGUCCCGAGUGUUCGUCAGAACGUUCGAAGGGACUUGCAAGCGACCAGCGGGAUUGACAGAGUUGCAAGUCUGCAUGCAGAAAACCAAUGAGACUCUCAGAGAGUAUAUUCAGAGGUGGAUCACUUUGCACCACACUGUGGAAAAUGUCUCUGACCAUCAGGCAGUAUGCGCCUUCAAAGAUGGUGUCAAGAACAGAGAACUGAGUUUGAAAUUUGGUCGAACCGGUGACAUGACCUUGAGUCGGAUGAUGGAGAUUGCUACCAAGUAUGCCAACGGCGAAGAAGAAGACCGACUCCGAAGCGGCAAGCACAAGCCGAGUCAGUCGGAAAAAGGAAACACCAGUCGGAAACAGAAGCGGAAGGCUGAACCGGCAGCUCCUGGAGAGGCUCUGGCCGUGACUCAAGGAAAGUUUAAGGGGAAACCAAAAGGAUCCUGGAACCCCAAGAAGGUAAAGGAUAAAGAAGGGAACGACGUGAUGGAUAUGCCGUGUCAUAUUCACACGAAGAAAGAUGAAGAGGGGAAUAUCAUUUACCCAAAGCACACCACUCGCCAAUGUCGACUCCUGAUCCAGCAGUUUCAGGGAAAACAGUCUAAGGACAAGGAGAAGGAGCCGGACAAGGCCGAAGACAAAGAUGACAGUGAGGGAGGAUAUCCGCAUAUCAACUCCACUCUGAUGAUCUUCGCAGAUGUGGAAAGCAGAAGUCGACUGAAAGUGAUUAACCGAGAGGUUAACAUGGUUGCCCCAGCAAAGGCAAAUUAUCUGAAGUGGUCUCAAACACCCAUCACAUUCGACCAAUCUGAUCACCCGAAUCAUAUUGCCACCCCUGGGAGGCAAGCUUUGGUGGUCGAUCCAGUUGUCGAAGGCACUCGACUGACAAAGGUGCUGAUGGACGGUGGGAGUGGGUUGAAUCUGUUAUAUGCAGACACGUUGAAAGGUAUGGGCAUUUCGAUGUCCCGGCUGAGCACUAGUAACAUGAGCUUCCAUGGAGUUAUACCAGGGAAGAAGGCCGAGUCACUCGGCCAGAUAGCUUUGGACGUAGUGUUUGGCGAUUCAAAGCAUUUUCGCAAAGAAAAGUUGACGUUUGAGGUCGUGGAUUUUCAAAGUGCAUAUCAUGCCAUUUUGGGGAGACCAGCCUAUGCACGGUUCAUGGCUCGACCAUGUUACGUGUACCUCAAAUUGAAGAUGCCCGGUCCCAAAGGUGUGAUCACUGUCACCGGUGAUAGGAAAAAGGCUGAGGAGUGCUUUCAGAAGGGCUCCAAAAUUGCCGAUUCCCAAGUGACAGCGGUCGAGUUCGAAGAAUACAAGCAAAACGCAGAUCCGAGUGACUUGCUGCGAUCCAAGAAGCCCGCCACAGAAUCUGCAUUCCAGUCGUCCGGUGAGACGAAGCCUGUUCACAUUCACCCGACCGACCCCGAAGCAGCUCCGACCCGCAUCUCCACAACACUCGACCCAAAAUAGGAAGAAGCGCUCAUCCAGUUCCUCCGUGAGAACUGGGACAUUUUUGCAUGGAAGCCCGCUGACAUGCCAGGUGUUCCCAGGGGACUGGCUGAGCAUCGCCUAAGAGUCGACUCGUCUGCAAAGCCAGUCAAAGAACAUCUUCGGCGGUCCGCCGUCCAGAAGAGAAAGGCCAUCGGUGAAGAAGUGGCUCGACUGUUGGCGGCAGGAUUUAUCCGAGAGAUAUUCCACUCCGAGUGGCUCGCUAAUGUCGUCAUGGUUCCUAAAAAGGACAAGUCGCUCCGAAUGUGCAUUGAUUUCAAGCACAUCAACAGGGCCUGCCCGAAAGAUCACUUUCCUCUCCCUCGCAUAGAUCAAAUUGUUGACUCGACCGCGGGAUGCGAGAGGUUGUCUUUUUUAGAUGCUUACUCCGGGUACCACCAGAUCCGUCUAUAUGGGCCCGAUGAAGUAAAAACAGCUUUCAUCACUCCAUUCGGGUGCUUCUGCUAUAUCACCAUGCCAUUCGGCCUCAAGAAUGCCGGAGCCACAUUUAUGCGAAUGAUCCAGAAGUGUCUACUCACUCAAAUCAGUCGGAAUGUGGAAGCUUAUAUGGAUGAUAUUGUUGUCAAGUCACGAAAAGGUUCCGACCUGCUCGCUGACCUCGCCGAAACAUUUGCCAACCUCAGAAGGUAUGAUAUCAAGCUCAAUCCAUCAAAGUGCACAUUUGGAGUUCCUGGUGGCAAGUUACUCGGUUUUCUCGUUUCCGAACGGGGAAUCGACGCCAACCCAGAAAAGAUUGGCACUAUUCUCCGAAUGAAACGCCCUGUGCGAGUGCACGAUGUCCAGAAGCUUACUGGAUGCUUGGCCGCAUUAAGUCGAUUCAUCUCACGACUCUGUGAAAAGGCAUUGCCUCUUUACCGACUGAUGAAGAAGGCUGACAAGUUCGAGUGGACUCCAGAAGCUGAUGCAGCGUUUGCCGAGCUAAAAGCUCUGCUCUCCACCCAGCCGGUGCUUGCUGCUCCAAUCAGCAAAGAGCCUCUGUUGCUCUACAUCGCAGCCACAGGACAAGUCGUCAGUACUGUGCUAACGGUCGAGCGGGAAGAAGAAGGAAAAGCUCUCAAAGUUCAGCGCCCAGUGUAUUAUUUGUCUGAAGUCUUGACUCCAUCCAAGCAGAGAUAUCCUCAUUAUCAGAAGCUUGUGUAUGGAAUAUACAUGACCACAAAGAAGGUUGCUCAUUAUUUCUCUGACCAUUCAAUCACAGUCGUCAGCGACACUCCACUAUCAGAGAUUUUGCACAACAGAGAUGCAACUGGUCGAGUGGCCAAAUGGGCGAUUGAACUUCUUCCCCUUGAUAUCAAGUUUGAGGCAAAGAAAGCCAUUAAGUCCCAGGCAAUAGCAGAUUUCCUCGCCGAGUGGAUCGAACAGCAGCAGCCGACUGAAGUUCACUCGGAGCAUUGGACCAUGUUUUUCGAUGGUUCUAAGAUGUUGAAUGGUUCCGGUGCUGGGGUUGUCCUGGUUUCCCCCAGAGGAGAUAAGCUCAGAUAUGUGCUCCAGAUUCACUUUGAUUCCUCCAACAAUGAGGCAGAAUAUGAGGCCCUCCUAUAUGGGUUGCGCAUGGCCAUUUCACUCGGCGUCCGUCGCCUAAUGGUCUAUGGCGACUCGGAUUUAGUGGUCAAUCAGGUGAUGAAAGAGUGGGACGUGAGAAGCCCAGCCAUGACUGGAUACUGCAGUGCAGUGAGGAAGCCGGAGAAAAAGUUCGAGGGGUUGGAGCUCCAUCAUAUACCCCGACUGAAAAAUCAAGCAGCUGAUGAUCUAGCAAAGAUAGGUUCCAAGAGAGAAGCCAUUCCGAGUGGUGUGUUCUUGGAGCAUAUACAUACUCCGUCAGUCAAAGAAGAUCCUUUCACCGAAGAAACUCCGCAGCCCAAGAGUGCCACAGAUCCGACUGAAGUUGAAGUCCCAGCGGUGGUCGACUUGAUCAUGGAGGUUUUGGUAGUCAUUCCCGACUGGACGAUUCCGUAUGUCGCAUAUAUCUUGAGGAAAGAGCUUCCGGAGGAUGAGGAAGAGGCUCGACAGAUCGUCCGUCGAUCUAAGGCCUUUACCGUCAUCAAAGGACAAUUAUACAGAGAGAGCACGACUGGAGUCGGUCAGAAGUGCAUAACACCAGAAGAAGGUCGUCUCAUCCUCAAUGAUAUUCACUCGGGGACCUGUGGUCAUCAUGCGUCCUCCCGGACCAUCGUGGCCAAAGCAUACCGAGCCGGAUUUUACUGGCCCAAGGCGAAUGAGAUGGCAAAGGAGAUAGUGGAUAAGUGCGAGGGAUGUCAGUUCUACUCGAAUAUGUCGCACAAACCUGCGUCAGCUUUGAAGACCAUCCCACUCGUCUGGCCUUUUGCAGUCUGGGGGCUGGACAUGGUCGGCCCUUUGAGAACAGGACGAAGUGGCUUCACGCAUGUACUGGUGGCAGUCGACAAGUUCACCAAGUGGAUCGAGGCUAAACCAAUCAAGAGCCUCGACACCGGUACUGCUGUUAGCUUCAUCAGGGAACUAAUAUUCAGAUAUGGAGUCCCGCACAGCAUCAUUACGGAUAAUGGGUCGAACUUUGACUCAGAGGAAUUCAGAACCUUCUGCAACUCCCAGGGCACACGGGUCGACUACGUAUCAGUCGCCCAUCCGCAGUCGAAUGGACAAGCAGAGCGAGCUAAUGGACUGAUUCUCAAGGGACUGAAGCCGCGACUGAUGCGUGAUCUCAAACACGCGGCUGGAGCUUGGGUCGACGAACUUCCAUCUGUACUCUGGGGACUGCGGACCACGCCCAAUCGGUCGACCGGAAGAACUCCAUUCUUCUUGGUCUAUGGAGCCGAAGCAGUCUUGCCGAGUGAUCUUCUCCACAAUGCUCCUCGAGUCGAAAUCUACAACGAAGCAGAAGCUGAACAAGCGCGGCAGGACGCAGUCGACCUUUUAGAGGAAGAAAGGGAGAUGGCUCUGAUCCGGUCGACCAUCUACCAACAAGAUCUGCGCCGUUUCCACGCCCGAAAUGUGAGAGGUCGAGCCUUCCAGGAAGGGGAUUUGGUUCUCCGAGUGGAUCAGCACAAACCACACAAGCUUGCUCCUUCUUGGGAAGGCCCCUUCAUCGUCACCAAGGUUCUCCACAACAGGGCGUACCGUCUUUACAACGUCGAGCAUAAUAUCGACGAGCCCCGAGCUUGGAACGCGGAGCUACUCCGCCCAUUUUACACUUAAGUUUUAUCACUCGGAUGAGUUGCAAUAAAGUACUUUUGUAGUUCAUGGGUUUAGAAAUAAUUGUGUCAUCACUUUUUAUUUUUGUCCACAUAAAAACUCCCCCUCAGUGGGUGGCUUAGCCGCGAAUCCGUUUCGCCUAAGUUUGUAAAAAUCCUAUCGAGUGGUGAGCCAGACUCUCACUCGGAGGCUUAGCUGCGAAUCCGUUUCGCCUAAGUUUAUCAAAAUCCUACCGAGUGGUAAGCCAGCCUUCCACUCGGGGGCUUAGCUGCAGUCCAAGCACUCGCCUAAGUUUAUCAAAAUCCUACCGAGUGGUAAGCCAGCCUUCCACUCGGGGGCUUAGCUGCAGUCCAAGUGCUCGCCUAAGUUAUAAAAAUCCUACCGAGUGAAGAGCAACCCUCUCACUCGGGGGCUUAGCUGCAGUCCAAGCACUCGCCUAAGUUGUGAAAAUCCUACCGAGUGAAGAGCGAUCCUCUCACUCGGGGGCUUAGCUGCAGCCUCGUGCUCGCNNNNNNNNNNNNNNNNNNNNNNNNNNNNNNNNNNNNNNNNNNNNNNNNNNNNNNNNNNNNNNNNNNNNNNNNNNNNNNNNNNNNNNNNNNNNNNNNNNNNNNNNNNNNNNNNNNNNNNNNNNNNNNNNNNNNAAUCCUACCGAGUGAAGAGCAACCCUCUCACUCGGGGGCUUAGCUGCAGUCCAAGCACUCGCCUAAGUUGUGAAAAUCCUACCGAGUGAAAAGCGAUCCUCUCACUCGGGGGCUUAGCUGCAGUCCAAGCACUCACCUAAGUUUAUCAAAAUCCUACCGAGUGGUAAGCCAGCCUUCCACUCGGGGGCUUAGCUGCAGUCCAAGGGCUCGCCUAAGUUAUAAAAAUCCUACCGAGUGAAGAGCGACCCUCUCACUCGGAGGCUUAGCUGCAGCCCAGUGCUCGCCUAAGUGGACUAAAGAAUAAGUCGAUUGCGGUACAGGCACCUUGCUUUGAACCUGCAAAAGACAUUCCGAGCCGAAGGCAAUCAUAUUCAAGCGCCAAAUUCAAGUUUGAAUCGAUAUCUAAAGGAACCGAAAGUGCUCGGGCGUCAAGCCUGUUAAGGUUUGUCGGUUACAAUUCCACUCGGCAUACCGAGGCAAAUUUAAAGUGUCGAGCCAGAAGAAGUUUUUUACCCCUCCUGCGGAGGGCUGGAAGGUGCAACAAAUUCAUCAAGGUCAAUUCCGUCGGCGAUCCGAGUGGCAGCUGCAAGGAAAGUCUCCAUAAAGGACCUGAAGUCGUGCUUCUUGGUAUUGGCCACCCGAAGGGCCGCCAGCUUCUCCUCUCGUGCAUCUUUGCAGUGGACUCGGGCCAGACACAGAGCGACAUCUGCACCACACCGAGCCGAGGACUUCUUCCACUCCUGCACUCGACCAGGGAUCGUGUUCAAGCGGGCCAUCAGCGACUCAAGGUCAUUCUGAAGUGUCUCCUCAGGCCAGAGCGUCGAGUCGAUGCGAGAUGUGGCGGCCUUCAGCCUUGCGAGAUAGUCCACGACAGCUGCGACACGAGACUCCAGUCGGAAAACAUCCAUGGCAACUUCGUCGUUCACCGGAGAAUUGACGGGGUCAAGGUUUGGCUCCAGUCGGCUGGUUUCCUCUUCAAAGUUUUGACAAAAUUCUGCAAGGGCGAUCACUAAGUCAAGGGGAUAGUCGAAUGGAAGAAGCCACAGUUGGAAAUAUUUGCCAAACAUGGAGGUUUACCUUCAAGCAUAAGAAACAGCUUCUUGGCAAGGCCACUCAGGAAGGCCUCCAGUUCAGUUUUCUUCUCAGUCAAUUUGCUGACUUGGUCGGUCAAGGCAGCUUUGUCAGUUCUCAGUCGACUGACUUCCUUGUUGGCAAUCCCAAGAGCAGUUUUCAGAUUGGUAUUGUCUUGUUCGAGCUUGGUGACUGAAGCUAACUUCUCGUCAGCAAGCUUGAUCUUCUCAGCUAGCUCAAGGUCUUUCUUCUGCUGGGCCUCCCUUACCUUACCUGCAAGUUACAGCGAGAUCAGAUGCCGAAACAAGCAAGGGGAAAAGCAGUCGUCAGGGUCUCACCAAACAUACCUUCGGUCUCCUCCUUUGCCUUUGUCAGCUUCUCCUGAACCAGCUUCAAGCUCAGCUCGACUUGAGUAUGCUUUUGUUCCAGCUCUGAGUAGCGAGCCACAAGAUCACAGGAGUUCUGCGAAGAACCAAUCGACUAAACGUCAAAUGUAACUCACUUCCGAGUGAAAAAGGGAAAAACACACGUUUCUAAGACUACAGCCGAAUACAAGCAUUCGACCGUAGUCUCGGGGACUACACCCAGUGGGUGCACUCAGCGUGCCCCCACUAAUCCUGUUGAAGACAAAGUCGACCAGUCGACCUCAAAAAAAAAAAACAGUGUGCGAGACGCAUUCUCUAAGACUGUGAUCAACUGCAAGCAGUCGACCACAGUCUCGGGGACUACACCCAGUGGGUGCACUCAGCGUGCCCCCACCGGUUUGCGAAAUCCAGUCGACCAGUCGACUGACAGAAAGAUUGACAUCAUAAAGCCUAAGGCCGACUGCCAGCAGUCGACCUUAGCCUUGGGGACUACACCCAGUGGGUGCACUCAGCGUGCCCCCACCGGUUUGCGAAAUCCAGUCGACCAGUCGACUGACAGAAAGAUUGACAUCAUAAAGCCUAAGGCCGACUGCCAGCAGUCGACCUUAGCCUUGGGGACUACACCCAGCGGGUGCACUCAGCGUGCCCCCGCUAACACGGAGUUUAUUCGACACACCCAGUGGGUGACUAAUAUAAAUUCCGGAAAAGAAAAGUUUUUGGUAGCAUAUCCAACAGAACAAACAGAACUGGCGUCAUAAGCUGCCUGGCUCGCGUCCCGGAUGGUCUUCAGCUGCUCCAUCAUGAGUCCCGCCUGGCGUAUCGCCUCCUUCGCUGCGCCAGCUUGGUCCUCUGGGACGUGGUGCGUCAUGAAGAGGGAAGGCUGCUGAGCACUCGUCAGUGGAUUCGCGAAGGUCACCGUGUGUCGAGUGGUGUUCUCUUCCUCCACAGCCAGAAUUUCAGGCGCCGGCACAUCCUGAGGCACCUUACUGGCGGACGCUUUCCGACUCGUCCUGUGCUUCAGCGGCUCUUCAUCCUCAUCAUCAUCAGGAAGAUCGAUAACAGUGUUGGGUGGAGCUGCGGAGAAGGAUCAGGAUCAGAGAUCGCGAGUCAGUCGACUAAGAAUGGUAUUAAGAACACAGUACCUGGAUUCGAAGUUGCUGCAUCCUCCAUCUCGUGGUCAUCGGCCCGGGCCGAGGUCUCAGAAGUAGCAGCACUGCAACUCCAAAGGAUCAGUCGACUAACCUCAGCGUCGACCAGAGAUAAAGUUCGCACAGAAUAAGAAAAUAUGAGCAACACAAUUACCCUGAUAUGGUGGGGAUGGACACCUUCAUCUUCGGCAGGAGCUUGGUCGGCUUCGAUGAGGCCGCCCUGGGCUGCUUCGGCGCCUUUUCAGUCGGCGCCGGAGAGGUGGUCCGAGGGCGCUUGGUCGACUGAGUGGCGGUCACAACCCCCUUACCACGUUCGGUCGAAGGGUCGUGGACAAGCUUCGACCGCCUUUCUGAGCGCGGUGGAACGACCUCCUCCUCCUCUUCUUCCUCGUCCUCGAUGUCAUCUUCAUCACCUUCAUCAUCAUCAUCGUCGUCAUCAUCCCCUGCAGCAUCCGAGUCCCAUUCCUCCUCUUCCUGGCUCUCGCCCCCGCUCGCCUCGCCCCCGCUCGCCUCGCCUUCCUCAGUCGAAGCUUGUGCCCCAUUGGGCAUCGAGUACAGCUCGGUGAAGGCCUAGCAGAUGCCCAAACAAGGAUCAGUCGACCAGUCGGCAGGGUUAGCAGAAAUGAAUACGACAAGGACACAAUGGAAAGCAGAGCAAGUGUACCUUGUUUGGGUCGCUGUUGUGGUCGAGUGGAGGAAUCCUUCUGGCUCCGCGCAGGUUGUCCCUGUUUCCGGUAACGGCUACCAUCCAUCUUUCCAGAGUGGCAUCGUCGACUUCUUCUGGAUGGACUCUAGUCUCGUCUUCGGGCCCACAGUACAACCACAUGCAGUGGCUCCGGAAUUGAAGGGGUUGGAUGCGACGCCUGAGGAAGACCUCCAGAAGAUCCAUGCCCGUCACCCCCUCCCGAACCAACUGCACCACGCGCUCCAUCAACAUCUUUACGUCGGCUUUCUCCUCCGGAAUCAGCUUCAGAGGGGAGGGCUUGUUCACUCGGUCCAUGGUAAACGGAGGGAGUCCGCUCGACUGCCCUGGCGUCGACUGGACCUGACAGUAGAACCAAGUCGACUGCCAUCCUCUGACGGACUCGGGAAAGGACAUGGGCGGGAAGGUGCUAUUAUUCCUCACCUGAAUCCCCAGGCCCCCACACAUUUGGACGACUCGGGUCUUCUCAUCACCUGGGCUCGCCUUCUUCACGGUCUGAGAGCGACACGUGAAGAUACGUUUGAACAAACCCCAGUGCGGUCGACAGCCCAAGAAACCCUCACACAUGGACGCGAAUGCAGCAAGAUAGGCAAUGGAGUUUGGGGUAAAGUGGUGGAGCUGCGCUCCAAAGAAAUUCAAGAAGCCACGGAAGAAAAUGCUUGGCGGCAAGGAAAAUCCACGAUCAACAUGAGUGGCCAGAAGCACACACUCACCCUCUUCUGGCUGUGGCUGCCACUCCUUCCCCGGCAACCUCGCAGCUCCGUGAGGGAUCAAGCCCUCGUUGGCCAUGUCGAGGAGGUCCUUCUCCGUGAUGGUCGACUGGAUCCAGUCUCCUUGGACCCAGCCUUUUGGCAGGCGGGAUCUGGACGAGGACCCUCUGCGGCUGGUGGAUCUCCCCUUCGCCUUCUCCGAUGCCGACGCCUUCUUGGCACGCUCCAGCGCCACCGUCUUCUCCUUGGCCAUGGUCGCCGGUGAGAUGCACGAAGGGAAGUGGUGCGGGGGCGAGAGCAAGCACGAUGAGCAGGGAGGAAGGAAGCAGAGGGAGAGAGGGAGAAUGCUGAGGCGCAGCACAGAAAUCCUCGCCGGGCACAUUUAUAAGGUCCCUUCCGAGUGGCUGACAUGUGGGCCCGGUCGAUCUAAUCAUAUCUGGGAGCAGUUAUGAGGACUGGAUACGUGGCGAAAAAGGCGGCGCGGAGAUCGAGGCGUCUAUGCCCCGUCCCAUCCGAACGCCGCGGUCUGCCCCGCUUCGCGCGCGCCCCCAAAUUUCGCACCCCGCGGAAUCCGCGAGCAACAAAUCAGUCUGUCAGACGCGGUGUUUCCGGCGAUCCGUCGCUCGGAGAUCGUCGAAGCUCGAAAGAUCACUCGACGCAAAAAUAGAAUGGAUCGAGUCGACCGAAGACAAAUUGCUCCCUGUCAACGAAGAGAUUCUUUGAUCCAGAACAGCGCACAACUAGAGCGCAAAGGUUAAUCGGAAACGACAUCAACUCCUUCUUCACUCGAAGCCUCAAUCCAUUCGGGGGCUAAUGAUGGGGUUAUGUACCUAGGGUAGGGUCAUGGACCUGAUCCAAGUAACUUACCCUAGGACAUCCCUAGAAGAGGUCGCCUUCCAGUCGACCAACGAGGAUUCACUCGACUGGCCUGAAGGACUCGACCACGAAGACUCACUCGACCACCAGGAGGUCAAGAGGCACUCUGCACCGCAACGGCCUGUAAUUAAGUAGACUUUAUGAUAGUAAAGGCACUUUAUGUGGGGCGUUACCAGUAACGCCCCAGACUUAACUCACCUUAAACCCUCUCCUACGUGGGCUGGCUGGGGUCCUGGCGCACUCUAUAUAAGCCACCCCCCUCCACAGGCAGAAGGGUUCGGCACCUUGUAAUCCAUACAUUCAUAAUCCACUCGACCGCCUCCGGGCUCCGAGACGUAGGGCUGUUACUUCUUCCGAGAAGGGCCUGAACUCGUACAUCCUUUGUGCUUACAACCUCUCCAUAGCUAGGACCUUGCCUCUCCAUACCUACCCCCCACUCUACUGUCAGGCUUAGAACCACGACAGUCAUAGUUGGGAAGCGGAUUAGGAGCACUCGGGUGCUCCACCCCCCCUAUAUUUAAAAAUAAUUUAAUAAUUAAAAAAAAGCCAAAAAAAAUCUUGGAUAUAUUUUUGAACCAAAUAUGACUAGGUAUUGUACUCAUAUAAAAUGUUUGGCCAAGGAAUAAUUCCCGUUGACUUCAGGGCAAAAAAACCAAAUUUAUGACGACAAUAUAGCAUGAAUAGUACUUGUAUCUAGCAUUUUUUGGGAAAUCUUUGACCACGGAUACAAUAUAAGUCAUUUCCUAUUUAAAUAUUUUUAUACGAGUGCAAUACCUGGUCAUGUUUGAUACCAUAAAAAGUUCCGAGAUUUUUUGACUUUUUUUGAAUUACUAAAUUAUUUUUGAAUAUAGGGGGGCGUAGCACCCGAGAGCUCCUAUGCGUUUUCGUCAUAGUUGUGACUAUUUACACCUGUAACUGCUAUAGUUAUGGGCAUUAAUCACCCUGGUGACUUGGGAAUGAAGGAGGCUGCGACGCACUGUACAUAAGCCGUCCUCCUCCUCUAGAGCAAGGGUUAAGCACUCUGUAAUCGUACCCCCCCUCCCCCCAAGAAAACAAGCCUCACGGCAUGAGACGUAGGACUGUUACCUCCUCUGAGAGGGGUCUGGACUCGUAAACGACCGAGUGUUACACAUGUGUCGUACUUAGGCCCUGCCCCUAUUUCAUACCCCUAGUACUCAUUGUCAGGAUCGUAACCCCGACAUCUCCCACUUGUUUCCCAUUACUUGGUGGUUAUUCAUUGGCAGAGUGGCUCUUUUAUUCUCCCCUACAGCUUCUUCCUCUUCCUCAUCCAAUCCAAUGGGCCGGUUCAAGUUUGAGCCAUCAUUUGUCUUCAACUUCUUUGGCCUUUCUUGAGGUUUUCCACAACUUGUAUCCACUCUGGUUGGCCAUUCAAUUUAAUCCAAGAAUGGCUAAAACCGAAUGGCUUCUUCUUGGUUGCUGGUACAAAGUGGCCGCCAACACCACCUAUCAAAAAACAAAGUUAUCAUGAUAAUCGGACGUAAAAAAUAUUAGUGCAAAUUACGACAAAGCAAAUCAGUUCAACUUAGAUGAUUUUGGACUCCAAUCCAACUUUGAUUCCGGCCAUGCGGAAGCACAGUGGCCAACAAACUUGUUGAUGCGCUCUCGGAUGGUGGACCAUCUGUGUAGGAGAGAGACCAGAUUAUGGGUUAUAUUGUUCGGAUUCGGCUCCACAUAUUCCUUGUGUUCAUGAUACUGCUUCUAAAUCUUCUCCCAAUACUUGCUGGUCUUCUCCUUUGUGCCACAUAUAGGGUCCAAUCUUGUGGCCAACCAAUAUUAAACCAACAAAACAUCCUCCACUACUAGGAAAACGGCUAUAGAUGAAAUGGACACUAAUGACGAACCACGUGUGUGGUGCGCCAUUAGAAUAUAGCAAUGGCGCAUCACAUAUAGGUACACCAUUAGUAAUAUAGUAAUAUAUUACUAAUGGCACACCUGGUGUGCGGUGCCCCAUUAGAAGUUUUGAAAAAAAAAUUGUUACUAAUGGCGCACCGUGGGUGUGGUGCGCCAUUAAUAGUUGACACAGUAAUGGCGCACCACACCCACGGUGCGCCACUAGAAGUUCGGAAAAAAAGGGCAACCUGGUGCAUGUAGCUCCCACUUGCGCAGGGUCCAGGGAAGGGUCCGACCACUUUGGGUCUAUAGUACGCAGCCUUUCCNNNNNNNNNNNNNNNNNNNNNNNNNNNNNNNNNNNNNNNNNNNNNNNNNNNNNNNNNNNNNNNNNNNNNNNNNNNNNNNNNNNNNNNNNNNNNNNNNNNNNNNNNNNNNNNNNNNNNNNNNNNNNNNNNNNNNNNNNNNNNNNNNNNNNNNNNNNNNNNNNNNNNNNNNNNNNNNNNNNNNNNNNNNNNNNNNNNNNNNNNNNNNNNNNNNNNNNNNNNNNNNNNNNNNNNNNNNNNNNNNNNNNNNNNNNNNNNNNNNNNNNNNNNNNNNNNNNNNNNNNNNNNNNNNNNNNNNNNNNNNNNNNNNNNNNNNNNNNNNNNNNNNNNNNNNNNNNNNNNNNNNNNNNNNNNNNNNNNNNNNNNNNNNNNNNNNNNNNNNNNNNNNNNNNNNNNNNNNNNNNNNNNNNNNNNNNNNNNNNNNNNNNNNNNNNNNNNNNNNNNNNNNNNNNNNNNNNNNNNNNNNNNNNNNNNNNNNNNNNNNNNNNNNNNNNNNNNNNNNNNNNNNNNNNNNNNNNNNNNNNNNNNNNNNNNNNNNNNNNNNNNNNNNNNNNNNNNNNNNNNNNAAAAAUAAAAGAAAAUAAGUUUGCCAUGUGAUAUGUGGUCUAGUUGUUGGGAAAAUUUACAAAUAUAAAUUUUGACUUUAUUUGCAAAAUCUCUCUGAAAAUUUGUAAAAUGGGCAUAACUUUUGUAUACGAACUCGGAUUAAAAAGUUUUAUAUAUGAAAAAUCAUCUACUCGAAAAGUUACAUCCGAAUUUAACUGGGGGAACCCCGUUAAACAUUUUCAAAAUCCCCAAAAACCUAACACAAAAAAAAGGUUUUGAUUUUUUUAAAAAAAUUUCUUUUCAAAAAAUGAUACGUAAUAUGACCGGGAAGUUUGAAAUAUUUUUCAAAAUUUCAUCAUAGUCAUGAACAUGAACAAAGUCCUAGAUAUCAACAAGGUAUAAUAGGAUUGAUAUGCUAGAUAUAUCAACAAGUGCCUGUGAAGUGAGCUGUUGCUAGGGUUGGAUAGAACUCUGAAGUUAAGCGUGCUUGGGCUAGAAAAAAAAUUGUUGAUGUCAUUAGAAAAAAAAUUCUAAUGGCGUGGUGCUAGUGGCGCACCAGUAGUGCGCCAUUAGUAGCAAAAAUAGGUGCGCCACUAGCAGCCCUUUUUCUAAUAGUGCUCAAUUGUUGUGAAUAUCAGGCCUCUUGCAUUGGGUAUCUUUGCCCUUUUCUUCUUAGUGCGCAUGUCCCCCAACAUAAAAAGUAAGAUAAUUUGGAACCCCCAAGCCAUAUUGCGUAGGGUCCGUAGGCUCUUGCCCCUCAUCGAUCAUGUUCGACAUGAAAUUUUCCUAAAAUGAUCAUGACUCAAAAUAAACUAACGUAAUAUGCAACUAAUUGAUUUAGUGGCAUAUGCAACUAACUAAUCCAGAACAUCAUAGUCAAUAUAGUGAACGAAGCGAUAAAAAUGGAGCAAAAUUUGUACCAUCUCCUGAUGUGUCAUUCUGUCGAAUAGGAAUGGGCAGACAAGGCAUGUUGUCUCCAUGGACAGAUAUUUCCAUGAUCUCGGUUGAGAUCGAAGUUUAUGUUGAUUCCCAUUGUAUUGCAAGGACUGCUUAGCUGGGACUGUAUGAUCCACAAAUGACGGAGUCACAUCCGACAGAUCUCGGGUAAUGGGUCCCGAGCUAAGUGUGGCCCACCAGCGAUGGAGUCAGAUCCAACAGAUCUCCGGUAGGGGGUCCUAAGCUAAAUGUCUCGACACGAUGGAAAUAUGGGCAUAUGUUUUUACCCAUGUUCGGGCUCUCCUUACAGAUAAACCCCUACGUCUUGCUUGUGUUUGUACUGCUUUGGGAUGAAGUACACGGUAUAGGUGGUCCACCUCGAGGUUGUUGUGUGUUUCUAGAUUUGAUAAUCUAAAUUCUGUUCAACUCUCUAGCCCGGCCUCGACUUAUAUAAGAAAACCGAAGGCCUAGGUUUACAGAGUCCUGGUUAGCUACGUCAGUGGAGAAGAAUCCUCCACGAGUAAGGAGUACUUGACUUGAACGACAAGACUUCUUGAUUUUCCUCGGAGAUCGCCAUGGGCCGCCCAAAAUGGCCCAGGAUGGAACCGACAAGGGGGUCCUUAGCCCGACCCACCUUGGCUGGGAGUCGACAUGGUGAGAGUGAAAGCUCCAAGGUUGCAACAAGUGACGCACAUACAGUGCGCCACUUAUCACAACCUGAGGAGGUGAGAGUGACCUUUGCAAAGAGUGAUCCUUAAUUAGUGAUUUUGGAUUGCCAAACCCUUCUACCGUUGAGAGGUCCUAGUAUGUGCAUUCAGCGCCAUGAACUAUCUUGGGGCUCACCGCUGCUCCUUUCGCAUGUUCGCCCUUGUCAUAUGUCGUUCAAUCCAUUUUUUUAUCCGCUCUCUUACAGUCCAUGAACUUAAAAAAAAUAUGAAAAUAAAAAAGAAUUACGAACUAGAAAAAAAAUUAUGAAUUUGAAAAAGUUCAACGGGUAGACUUUUGACAAGCUGACCAUUAACCAUUGACCUUUGACCAUAUAUGUUGUUCGUAGAUUUUUUUUGGAAAAAAAUCAUAUAUUUGAGAAAAAGAUCACAAAAUUUGACAAAAGUUUGCAAGUUUGAAACAAAGUUUGUAAAUUUGAAACAAGUUCGUGAUUCCAGUUGGAAAAAGUUCAUAGAUUUGAAUAAUGUUCAUGAAUUUAAGAGAAAUUUCACCUAUUUGAAUAGAAAUUUCAUUAAUUUGAAAAAAGUUCUCAAUUUCGAAUUUGAAAAGACCUCAUGGAUUCAAAAAAAUGUUCACAAAGUUGUAAGAGAAUCACUAAUUUGAAAAAAGUUCAUGGAUUCAAGGAAAGUUCAUGAAUUUGAAAACAAUUCACAAUUUGGGAAAUUUUAUGAAUUUAGUAUUUUUCGAUUUUUUUUAAGUUCAUGCAUCUGAAAAAAAAUGAUCAAUUUAAAAUGAAAACGGAAAAAGUGUAAAAGCUGGUCCAGAAAAAUAAGGUCCGAAGCUUCCAAAAACCGGGACGAGCGCCUCCCACGAAAGUGCAUUACGUGGGCCGGCAAAACUACCCUAGCAAAGAAUGACCUGAACCUAAGCGAUGUCUCAAAUCUCGAUGCCACGAGCAAUCAAGGCGAUGCCUUCAGAAGGAAAACAACGCCGUGACACACAAGCUUUGCAUAUUCAUGAGAGAAGACCAAAAUAACAGUACGUGCCUCAUUGCUUAUUUUGUUUCCUCAUAUAACAGUACGUGCAGUUCAACCCAGGUGUAUAUGUGUAUCCCGCCACUUCUAUCGUUAGGAAAGACUAUAAAUACAUCCAUUCAUCUACGUAUCUCUCACGCUCUUUACUUUUGGCUUGCAAUAAUAAUACGACCAAAGAGACUAGCGCACCACAAUACUACAUAUACCCAUGCUGAUAAUCAUACACCCGUCAAUUCUAGCUGUGUCCAGGUCGAAGUAACAGACGGGAACAUCACGGUGGUGAUGCAAGAGACUAGCGCGUUUGGACGCUUCGCAUCACCUACCUUUGGAUGCCUCGCAUGAAUCAAGUCGUGUCGUCCGCUAGCUUCCGCCUACCACCCACGGAGCAGAGCCAGCGAGCAACUAACACCGGCCAACUACCCACUGGAGUUGAAUGCAGGACGUCCAAGGUGUGCCCGUCAACCAUUCUGCUGACCGUAGUCAUGGCGAGCUGGUGCAAUUCAGUGCAUGCUCUAGGUCUAGGGUAGAGUGUUCAACGGAUUGUUACAGCGGCCGUGGGCGAUUCAUUAGACGGCUCCCCGCAGGUGGACGUCGUCGCAUUUCACUUUAUCUUUCUUUAAUCGCUUACCUGCUCCGUCGGCGGCGAUGGCCGCGUACGCUCCCUACGUGUCGCCGCAUGGCAUGCACAUGGACCGAUGGCCGGCUCGGGCCACGGCAGUGCGUGGCCAGCUAUAAAUACCCCAGCCGGGAGCUCCUAGAUCCAUCUCCACACAACUACCAGUACACUCCACUCCCAUCACACACACGGACACACCUGCAAGAGCGAGAGCGUGAGCCAUGGCGGGCAUGGGGAAGCAGCCGGUGGUGGCGGCGCUGAUGCUGGCGCUGGUGGUGCUGGCGGCGGCGCCGGGCGGGGCGCACGCGGCGUGCCAGGCAUCGCAGCUGGCGGUGUGCGCGUCGGCGAUCCUGAGCGGGGCCAAGCCGAGCGGUGAGUGCUGCGGCAACCUGAGGGCGCAGCAGGGGUGCUUCUGCCAGUACGCCAAGGACCCCACCUACGGGCAGUACAUCCGCAGCCCCCACGCGCGCGACACCCUCCAGUCCUGCGGCCUCGCCGUCCCCCACUGCUAGGCGCCGGCAGGCCCCUGGCGCAUAUGGCAAGCUAGCUGCCUCAGUGACCAUGAGAGCGUCAGACUAUAGCUAGCCCUAGCUGAGUGCGUGUUGCGUCCAUGAACGCAUCUUCCUGUCAACCAUGUGGUUCGACUUUGAUGAUGCUGGAAUAAAAAUAUAAAAUGUUGGGUGAUGAUCUACGGCGGCCAUGUUGCUUCUUGGCUGCUGCUGCUGGUAAUAAAAUUUGUGUUGCAACUUUGAUGAGAUCGGCUGAGUUGUGUUCAAUGACCAAACCAAACUGCCCCUAUCUUAGAAUUGUUAAAUCCAGUGGUGCGGUAUGUAGCGGCGAAGAAUCAAUCGUUAGUGCUUUUGGUGCAGUGACUUUAGGUAUAAGCGGUAUGAAUGGAAUACAUGGAAAUGCUUGUGGGCCCUCUGCAUNNNNNNNNNNNNNNNNNNNNNNNNNNNNNNNNNNNNNNNNNNNNNNNNNNNNNNNNNNNNNNNNNNNNNNNNNNNNNNNNNNNNNNNNNNNNNNNNNNNNNNNNNNNNNNNNNNNNNNNNNNNNNNNNNNNNNNNNNNNNNNNNNNNNNNNNNNNNNNNNNNNNNNNNNNNNNNNNNNNNNNNNNNNNNNNNNNNNNNNNNNNNNNNNNNNNNNNNNNNNNNNNNNNNNNNNNNNNNNNNNNNNNNNNNNNNNNNNNNNNNNNNNNNNNNNNNNNNAACCGCGAUAAAAUUUCUGCUCUUUUUUUUAGGGAAUUUCUACUCUGUUGCUAUAUGCUUUGUAAACAAUCGAAAUAUGCCUUCAAGGGCUCAAAAGAAUGUUUUUGGCUUUCUUAGUAACAUUUUAAUUCAUAGCGAGAGGAUCUUCGAAACAAGACCAAUCAUGGAUAAAACAUUGAACCAGUUUUUAUUUUAUUGUUGCUAUCCUAUUUCAAGUCAGUUUCUGUAAUUUACUCUUUCAAUCAUAUUUGAAAUCAUUUUCAUAUAAUAAGAAAACACAUCAUAGAUUAAAAACUAUUAGUUUCACACACUGAUUUUUUUUGAGGAAAUAUAAAUAGGUUUCCAACAUAAAAAAUCAUAUAUUAAAAGUAUAAGUUUACAUACUGAAAUGAGAAACUUCAGAAAAUAUAAACCAAUUUCACAAAUAAAAAUUAUGUUUCAUAUAUUGAAAAUAUCAACUUCACGCACUCUAAUGAGCAGUUAAAAAAUGUAAAUCAGUUUCACUCAUUGUAAAAUUAGGUUUCACAUUUUUAAAUAACCAGUUGUACUUCAAGAAAAUUCACAGUAACAUAGCUGACAAAAAGAUGUUCCAUGCAUUAUAAAUAUGAAUAUCUCACACUAUAGUAAGCAGCUUCCCAAAUUCUCGCCAAAAGACGAGUUUUGCGUUUUUUAAAGAAAAGGUAUAUAAGAUUUGUAGAAAAAUAGUUUCACAUAAUAAAAGAAACCGUUUAAAGCAUUGAAACAGAAAAUCCGUUUACUGGAUUCAAAAUCUUAGUUUCACACACUGAAAAGAAGUAGCUUAAAGAAAUUGUAAAUCAGUUUCACUCACCGACAAAAAGCACUUUCAUAUACAUGGUGGUAGCUACGCACGCAUGGUGGCAACUACACACCCUUUGUCAUAAGUGCCGUUUUUAUAUAUGAGGGAGUAGUAAGAAAAGUUAUAUAUGAGGUGUCGGGUUUCUUAUGGCAUUGCCACAAGUGCAUUUUUUGUUGUAUAGAAAUGACCUUUUCUCACUUAUCGUUGUUUAUAAAGGGACUUUUCUCAGUUCUCUUUGUCUUUUUGCUUGCCAUUUUGGUAUAAUUGCUUGUUUGCUUGCUUGGAUGGUACAACGUCACGAUAUUUUUGUUAUAGAGUUAUUUUUGGUAGUCCAAAAUAAUUUACCAAAAUAAUUAAAGAUAAAAAUCAGGGAUGUGCGUAGCUACCACCAUGGAUAGCAAAUUAUUUCUGAUUUUUGAAAUAACUUGUUUCACACAUUUGACAAUACAACACUUCCACAAACUUUCACACUUUGAAACAAAUUGUUUCAUAUAUAUGAGAACUAAUGGUUCACAUAAUUUAAAUAAUAAAUUUUACAAUUUUAAUUAUUGUGAAAUUAAUUUAUAUUUUGCUUGAUUUCACAUAUUUUGGUAUCCCAACUAAUUUUCUUCAGUAUUAAUUGAAAUGUUUAAAGCCAGAUCAUAGGUCUUGUUUUAGAUCUUCCGCAUAUUUCAUUUAUUUAGAUAAAGUGAUUUCAAAUAUCAUUAAUCACACAUAUAUCAAAAAAGUGAUUUGUACAAGUUUUUGUAUUUAAAAAACAUGAUUUCAUUUGAUUUAACCAAUUUUAGAAAAAAACAUGUUUCAAAUAAUAUAAAUGUGAUUGAAACAAUGAAAUUUAAAGAUGAUUGAAAUGUAUCCUUGAUUGGUUUUGUUCUAAUGAUCAUAUUGUCAGGAAUUCAAAUAUAUAUAAUUAUUUAAACUAUAAUUUUGGAUUAGAAGAUAUGAAUUAUCCAUAUUAUCAAAAACUGAAAAGAAAUGAAUUGUAUUUUUGUAUAACUCUACCACACAACUCUCUAUGCCCAAAUUGGCUAAACCAUUAUCCUUUAUUUCUGCUUUCUAAACAUUAACUUUUUUUGUUUUUAUUUCUGUUUGUUUUUCCUUUAUCUUUAUCUUUUUAGUUUAUGCUUUUCCACUUUUUUCCAUUUUAAGCUUCCUGAACUUUUUUGUUCAAUUUUCAAAAAAAAAAUCAAAGUCAUAAAUAAUUUUUAAAUUCAUAUAUUUUGUCAAUUUCGUAAACCUUUUUCACAUUCACCAUUUUUUCGUCCAAUUUUCAAAUCCUUGGCAGCACCGAGCGGGCAGCCAACAUGGACGAACUACUUGGCUGACCUACCGACUGGAUUUGAAUGCACUAGGUACGUCCAUACUACAUAAGUGUAGCCAUGCAUGCAUCAACCUCUUUGCUGACCCUAGUCAUGGCGAACUACGUACUGCAGUUCAGUAACUAGCCGGCUCGCGACAGGUGGAUUCUUAAUUAGCUAGCUAGGUUGCCAGCACUCCAAAUACUUGGCGAAGUAUCGGACGGUGCGUGGCCGUCUAUAAAUACACCGGGAGUCCAAACCACCAUUGUAGCAGUCCAUCACACUCAACACCUGCCACUGCGAGAGUGAGCGAGGAGCAGACCAACGUACGACGACGGCCAUGGCGAUGAGGAAGGAGGUCCUGCUGGUGGCCAUGAUGCUGGCGCUGGUUGUGGCGGCGCCAGGCGGGGCGCUCGCGGCGUGCGAGGUGGGGCAGCUGACGGUGUGCAUGCCCGCGAUCACCACCGGCGCGAAGCCGAGCGACGCGUGCUGUGGCAACCUGCGCGCGCAGCAGGCGUGCUUCUGCCAGUACGCCAAGGACCCCUCCCUCGCUCGCUACAUCACUAGCGCGUAGGGCUCAGCUAUAGGUAGGCUACCUCCCUCCAUGAGAGAUGAUAAGAGACUAUAGCUUAGCCUAGCUGAGACCUGAGAGAGUGCAUGCUGCGUCCAUGCACUCACGCAUGAUUCUGGAAUAAAAUGUUGGGUGAUGAUCGGUGCUGGAAUAAAAUGAGUUUUCCUACCUUCUCCUCUGUUUCCCCUCUCUGUCACUUGCUGCAAUCUUUUCAACGAAAACCACGUACAGGAAUUGGCAACCGUCCAAAAUACGCCCGAAAUUACGAUGAGUCACUCACAAAUAAGCCGCAUUGCAGCAGAAAACAUGAGAUGCUCUACAAAAUAGUGAUUGCUUUGCUGUACUGUUGGUUCCAUCGGGAUUGAGCACAAGAAGGCACAUCUUUGAUUCCUUGUACGAUGUGUGGCUUUGAACACUGUGGCACCUGCUCAUUAACUCGUGUGCAUUGAAUUCAUUUAUCAACCUUUAGUUUGGUGGUAUACAUCCCAAGUUCAGUUCCAUAAAAUCAAGCCUGCACUUUUUUUUGGAAGGGCAAAAGAUUUGACACAUUCAUUAAUUAAGAAUGAGCUUAAGAAAGUUGCUAACCCGGAGGCGAAACAAAUGCCUACUCUCCCAACAUAAUAUCACUCAAGUGUUGAGCCCCGGCUAACACCCACUUGCACGUUUCAUCUCGGAUCUUGUCAAUGACUCUCAAGAUGUUGUUGAAGACUCUCGAGUUGCACUCAUUCCAAAUUACCCAUGGACGUUACUCUAUGGCCUCUGCUAAUCAUGCACAAUUAAUGGGGGCAUGGUCACUUUGUUUUAGUCUACCAUUUAUAAAAUUUGGGCUCUUGACAGUUUUUGGGCAUGGUACUAUUCACAUCUCGACUUGUCUUUUUUGUUUCUCUUUGUAUAUUUCGGAUUUUGAUCUGAAUUUUUAGGGGUUGUAGACACAUGUGUUCUGAACAUUCACAAAAAAAUUACACAUCUAAAAUUGUAAUUUUCAAGCUGGUAUCAUGGGAGCACUUACAAUACUGGAAAAACUGUAUACGCUGACUUAUUUCAGCUAAGCCGAGAGCCAAAGCGCUGGCUCUCGGCAAAUUUGAUGAAUAUACCUUACUUAUAGUAUCUUUCCGGCAUUGGUGGAACAUAAUUCAGAUCCGUAACACACUGAAACUAGUUGAAGUCAUCCUUGUCAUGAAGGAGAAUGUAGUUAUGCAGCGUCAUAAUUGCCGCAACAAUCAUUUUUUGUGUUUCAAUCAAUCUUGAGUAGUAUUUUGCAUUUCAUUUUCAAAACAACAAAGGCCCUCUCUAUGCAAUUGCAUCCGCUUGGAGGAGCGGGUCUUUUCUAAUUUCUCCAUAGGAUUAGUAGGGGUGCACCUCUCCGCAUGGUGGUUUUCCUCAAAGUCACAUCCCCAUUCGGUAUCCCGCAACUUGAGUUUCGGGAAUAUGUUGUGAUCACCUUUUAGCUUGUCCCAUUUGAUUUUAAAUCAGACAUAUUUGUAUUCGAGCCUGAUUCACAUCUUGAAUUUCCUUCACACCUCCUCAAAUGCAUUUGGCAUCAAAUAAUUGUUUGGCCUAUUUGCAGCCUUCACUUGCUCCACAAACAACUCAGUGAGAACCCUAGUAUUUUCAUAGGUCCAUUCUGUGGCCAUGCUCAACAAUUGUCUGGGAAAAUCCAUGUCACUUUGGUGCUCACAUGUACUAGGAAAAUACACAUCGAUUGGAGCGUAGGUGCUUCUGUACAUAGCCAAACUCAUGUAAUAUAAAUUGAUGAUGCCCGGCCCAUUGUUGGGGGAAGUGCUACGUCUUGAGCUUGCGUUGGUUUUCCCCGAAGAGGAAGGGAUGAUGCAGCAGAGUAGCGUAAGUAUUUCCCUCAGUUUUUGAGAACCGAGGUAUCAAUCCAGUAGGAGGACACGCUCAAGUCCCUUGUACCUGCACAAAACGAUAGCUACUCGCAACCAACGCGAUUAGGGGUUGUCAAUCCCUUCACGGUCACUUACGAGAGUGAUAUCUGAUAGAUAUAAUAUUUUUGGUAUUUUUGGUAAAAAGAUGCAAAGUAAAAAAUAAAAGCAAAGUAAACAAGCAAAGCAAGAUUAAAGUGAUGGAGAUUGAUAUGAUGAGAAUAGACCCGGGGACCAUAGGUUUCACUAGUGGCUUCUCUCAAGAGCAUAAGUAUUCUACGGUGGGUGAACAAAUUAUUGUUGAGCAAUUGACAGAAUUGAGCAUAGUUAUGAGAAUAUCUAGGCAUGAUCAUGUAUAUAGGCAUCACGUCCGUGACAAGUAGACCGAAACGAUUCUGCAUCUACUACUAUUACUCCACUCAUCGACCGCUAUCUAGCAUGCAUCUAGAGUAUUAAGUUAAAAACAGAGUAACGCCUUAAGCAAGAUGACAUGAUGUAGAGAGAUAAAUUCAUGCAAUAUGAAAUAAACCCCAUCUUGUUAUCCUCGAUGGCAACGAUACAAUACGUGCCUUGCUGCCCCUUCUGUCACUGGGUAAGGUCACCGCAAGAUCGAACCCAAAGCUAAGCACUUCUCCCAUGGCAAGAACUACCAAUCUAGUUGGCCAAACCAAACGAAUAAUUCGAAGAGACUUGCAAAGAUAACCACUCAUACAUAAAAGAAUUCAGAGAAGAUUCAAAUAUUAUUCAUAGAUAGACUUGAUCAUAAACCCACAAUUCAUCGGUCUCAACAAACACACCGCAAAAAGAAGAUUACAUCGAAUAGAUCUCCACAAGAGAGGGGGGGACUUUGUAUUGAGAUUCAAAGAGAUAGAAGAAGCCAUCUAGCUACUCACACUUCAUCGGAAAGGCUAUGAUGAUGUAGAAGCCCUCCGUGAUGACGACCCUCUUCCGGCGGAGCUCCGGAACAGGCCCUAAGAUGGGAUCUCGUGGAUACAGAAAGUUGCGGCGGUGGAAUUAGGUUUUUAGCUCCUCUUCUGAUCAUUUGGGGGUACGUAGGUAUAUAUAGGAGGAAGGAGUACGCCGGAGGAGCACCGAGGGGCCCACGAGGUAGGGGCGCGCCCUAGGGGGGCGCCCCCCACCCUCGUGACCGCCUCUUUUGUUCCUUGGAGCAGGGUCCAUGUCUCCUGGAUCACGUUCGGUGAGAAAAUCACGUUCCCGAAGGUUCUAUUCCGUUUGGACUCCGUUUCUUCGAAACACUGAAAUAGGCAAAAAACAGCAAUUCUAGGCUGGGCCUCCGGUUAAUAGGUUAGUCCCAAAAAUAAUAUAAAAGUGGAAAAUAAAGCCCAAUAUAGUCCAAAACAGUAGAUAAUAUAGCAUGGAGCAAUCAAAAAUUAUAGAUACGUCGGAGACGUAUCAGGCAUCCCCAAGCUUAAUUCCUGCUCGUCCUCGAGUAGGUAAAUGAUAAAAAGAGAAUUUUUGAUGCGGAGUGCUACUUGGCAUAAUUUCAAUGCAAACCUUCUUAAUUGUGAUACGAAUAUUCAGAUUCGAAAGAUUCAAGACAAAAGUUUAUAUUGACAUAAAAAUAAUAGUACUUCAAGCAUACUAACAAAGCAAUUAUGUCUUCUCAAAAUAACAUGGCCAAGGAAAGUUAUCCCUACAAAAUAAUAUAGUCUGGCUAUGCUCUAUCUUCACCACACAAAGUAUUUAAAUCAUGCACAACCCCGAUGACAAGCCAAGCAAUUGUUUCAUAUUCUAACUUUUUCAAAACUUUUUCAAUCUUCACGCAAUACAUGAGCAUGAGCCAUGGAUAUAGCACUAUAGGUGGAAUAGAAUGGUGGUUGUGGAGAAGACAAAAAGGAGGGGAAGAUAGUCUCACAUCAACUAGGCGUAUCAACGGGCUAUGGAGAUGCCCAUCAAUAGAUAUCAAUGUGAGUGAGUAGGGAUUGCCAUGCAACGGAUGCACUAGAGCUAUAAGUAUAUGAAAGCUCAAAAAGAAACUAAGUGGGUGUGCAUCCAACUUGCUUGCUCAUGAAGACCUAGGGCAAUUUGAGGAAGCCCAUCAUUCGAAUAUACAAGCCAAGUUCUAUAAUGUAAAAUUCCCACUAGUAUAUGAAAGUGAUAAUAUGAGAGACUCUCUACUAUGAACAUCAUGGUGCUACUUUGAAGCACAAUUGUGGUAAGAGGAUAGUAACAUUGUCCCUUCUCUCUUUUUCUAUCAUUUUUUUAUAUUUUUUAUUUGGGCCUUUUCUCUUUUUUAUGGCCUCUUUUUAUUUGGGCUUCUUUGGCCUCUUUUAUUUAUUUUUCAUCCGGAGUCUCAUCCCGACUUAUGGGGGAAUCAUAGUCUCCGUCAUUCUUUCCUCACUUGGGACAAUGCUCUAAUAAUGAUGAUCAUCACACUUUUAUUUUUCUUAUAACUCAACAAUUACAACUCGAUACUUAGAACAAAAUAUGACUCUAUGUGAAUGCAUCCGGCGGUGUACCGGGAUAUGCAAUAUGACAAUGAUGAAUGUGUCAUGAUGAACUAGAUGGUGGAAAGUUGCAUGGCAAUAUAUCUCGGAAUGGCUAUGGAAAUGCCAUAAUAGGUAGGUAUGGUGGCUGUUUUAAGAAAGGUAUAUGGUAGGCGUAUGAUACCGGCGAAAGGUGCGCGGUAUUAGAGAGGCUAAUAAAGGUGGAAGGGUGAGAGUGCGUAUAAUCCAUGGACUCAACAUUAGUCAUAGAGAACUCAUAUACUUAUUGCAAAAAUCUAGAAGUUAUCAAAGCAAAGUAUUACGCGCAUGCUCCUUGGGGGAUAGAUUGGUAGGAAAAGACCAUUGCUCGUCCCCGACCGUCACUCAUAAGAAAGACAAUCAAUAAAUAAAUCAUGCUCCGACUUCAUCACAUAAUGGUUCACCAUACGUGCAUGCUACGGGAAUCACAAACUUUAACACAAGUAUUCUUUAAAUUCACAACUACUCAACUAGCAUGACUUUAAUAUUAUCACCUCCAUCUAUCAAAACAAUUAUCAAGCUUCAAUCUUUUCUUAGUAUUCAACACACUCAAAAGAAAGUUUCACAAAUCUUGAAUACCAAGCAUAUUAUUAUUAAGCAAAUUACCAUGCUAUUAAGAGACUCUAAAAAUAAUUUAAGUGAAGCAUGAGAGAUCAAUAGUUUCUUUAAAACAAAUCCAUCACCGUGCUCUAAAAGAUCUAAGUGAAGCACAUAGAGCAAAAUUAUAACGCUCAAAAGAUAUAAGUGAAGCACAUAGAGCAAAACUACUUAGCUCAAAAUAUAUAAGUGAAGCACAUAGAGUAUUCUAUCAAAUUUUAAUUCAUGUAUGGCUCUCUCAAAAGGUGUGUACAGCAAGGAUGAUUGUGGCAUACUAAGACACAAAGACACAAAUAAUACAAGACGCUCCAAGCAAAACACAUAUCAUGUUGGUGAAUAAAAAUAUAGCUCCAAGUAAAUUACCGAUGGAAGUGGAUGAAAGAGGGGAUGCCUCCCGGGGCAUCCCUAAGCUUUGACUUCUUGGUGUCCUUGGAUUUUCUUGGGGGUGCCAUGGGCAUCCCCAAGCUUAGGCUCUUGCCACUCCUUGUUCCAUAAUCCAUCAAAAGAAUUCACCCAAAACUUGAAAACUUCACAACACAAAACUCAAAAUAGAAAACUCGUGAGCUCCGUUAGAGAAAGAAAACAAAAGACCACUUCAAGGUACUGUAAUGAACUCAUUCUUUAUUUAUAUUAGUGUUAAAACUACUGUAUUCCAACUUCUCUAUGGAUUAUAAACUAUUCUACUAGCCAUAGAUUCAUCAAAAUAAGCAAACAACACACGAAAAACAGAAUCUGUCAAAAAACAGAACAGUCUGUAGUAAUCUGUAGCUAGAUCAAGAUCUGGAACCCCAAAAAUUCUAAAAUAAAUUUAUGUACGUGAGUAAUUUAUCUAUUAAUCAUAUUCAAAAAGAAUUAAAUAAAUAUCACUCUUCAAAUAAAAAUGACAGCAGUUCUCGUGAGCGCUAAAGUUUCUGUUUUUAUAGCAAGUUCAACAAGACUUUCCCCAAGUCUUCCCAACGGUUCUACUUGGCACAAACACUAAUUAAACACAAAAAACACAACCAAAACAGAGGCUAAAUAAUUUAUUUAUUACUAAGCAGGAGCAAAAAGCAAGGAAUAAAAAUAAAAUUGGGUUGCCUCCCAACAAGCGCUAUCGUUUAACGCCCCUGGCUAGGCAUAAAAGCGAGGAUAGAUCUAAGUAUUGCCAUAGUAAUAAGAUAGAUCGGUGAAGCUCAUUUCAUAUUCUCUACGUUCAGCAGCAAGUUUUCUUUGAGGCAAGCAAAAGUAAUCAAAAGGGCUAAAUUUAAUAGGACAGAAGUCUCCAAGAUCAAUUUUAGGAGGUAUAGGUUCCUCUUUCGGCCCUUCGUAUUGUACAACCAAUUCAUCAUUAUAAGCAUUCUUUUGACAGAACUUUGUGAGCCUAGACUCAAGAGAGUAUUCUAGCUCAUUAUUUCGAAUAGCCAAAUCAUCAUUAAGUUCAGAGAUUCUAUCAAUUAAAAUAUUGGUUGGCACCUUUUUUCUGAGGUUUUCAUUAAAAGCAACAUAGUCAGGAGAUUGAAAGCACAUAAUUUCUUCUUGAUCGAAGAGAAUAGAUUCUAUGGGAGGACGACCAGCGUCCACCCUAUAGUGCGCAAAGAUUUCUUUGGCUUCUUUUAUUAUAAAUCUGAAUUCAUGAGCCAAAAAGAUAGUAGCGGCACGCUUAACAGAGGAAUGCUCAAUAUUAGAAAAUUCUAGAAAAACUCUUUGUAUAGAUGGGUGCAUAUGAAUAAAUUGCCUUUCAAGUUCAACGAUAAGCAUGGCAAUAGCGUCCGCAAGACUACUAGUUAUAUGGAGAAUAGAACCGCCCAUAGAGGGCAAAGCACCGGCACAAGUAAAGAAAUCUUGAAUAACUCCUUUUCCAAUAAUAUUACCACUACCGAUUCGAAAUCUUUUUGAAUGGUAGGUAGGGGGUUCUUCAGCAGGAGCAUCAGAAUUUUCCAUGAUAUUGUUAUCACCCAUAUUGGCGAUAACUUCCCCAAUUUCAAACAUAACGACAAGCAAGCAAACUAGCACACAAGCAAACAAGAGGCAAGCGGAAAGGAGAGGGAGGAUAGAGAGAGAGAGAGGGCGAAUAAAACGGCAAGGGUGAAGUGGGGGAGAGGAAAAUGAGAGGCAAAUGGCAAAUAAUGUAAUGCGAGAGAUAGGGAUUGUGAUGGGUACUUGGUAUGUUGAAUUUUUGCGUAGACUCCCCGGCAACGGCGACAGAAAUCCUUCUUGCUACGUCUUGAGCUUGCGUUGGUUUUCUCCGAAGAGGAAGGGAUGAUGCAGCAGAGUAGCGUAAGUAUUUCCCUUAGUUUUUGAGAACCAAGGUAUCAAUCCAGUAGGAGGCCACGCUCAAGUCCCUCAUACCUGCACAAAACGAUACCUACUCGCAACCAACGCGAUUAGGGGUUGUCAAUCCCUUCACGGUCACUUACGAGAGUGAGAUCUGAUAGAUAUAAUAUUUUUGGUAUUUUUGGUAUAAAGAUGCAAAGUAAAAAAUAAAAGCAAAGUAAAAAAGCAAAGCAAGAUUAAAGUGAUGGAGAUUGAUAUGAUGAGAAUAGACCCGGGGUCCAUAGGUUUCACUAGUGGAUACUCUCAAGAGCAUAAGUAUUCUACGAUGGGUGAACAAAUUACUGUUGAGCAAUUGACAGAAUUGAGCAUAGUUAUGAGAAUAUCUAGGCAUGAUCAUGUAUAUAGGCAUCACGUCCGUGACAAGUAGACCGAAACGAUUCUGCAUCUACUACUAUUACUCCACUCAUCGACCGCUAUCCAGCAUGCAUCUAGAGUAUUAAGUUAAAAAUAGAGUAAUGCCUUAAGCAAGAUGACAUGAUGUAGAGAGAUAAAUUCAUGCAAUAUGAAAUAAACCACAUCUUGUUAUCCUCGAUGGCAACGAUGCAAUACGUGCCUUGCUGCCCCUUAUGUCACUGGGAAAGGACACCACAAGAUCGAACCCAAAGCUAAGCACUUCUCCCAUGGCAAGAACUACCAAUCUAGUUGGCUAAACCAAACGGAUAAUUCGAAGAGACUUGCAAAGAUAACCAAUCAUACAUAAAAGAAUUCAGAGAAGAUUCAAAUAUUAUUCAUAGAUAAACUUGAUCAUAAACCCACAAUUCAUCGGUCUCAACAAACACAUCGCAAAAAGAAGAUUACAUCGAAUAGAUCUCCACAAGAGAGGGGGAGAACUUUGUAUUGAGAUUCAAAGAGAGAGAAGAAGCCAUCUAGCUACUAACUAUGGACCCGAAGGUCUGAGGUAAACUACUCACACUUCAUCGGAGAGGCUAUGAUGAUGUAGAAGCCCUCCGUGAUGACGGCCCUCUUCCGGCGGAGCUCCGGAACAGGCCCUAAGAUGGGAUCUCGUGGAUACAGAAAGUUGCGGUGGUGGAAUUAGGUUUUUGGCUCCUCUUCUGAUCGUUUGCCGGUACGUAGGUAUAUAUAGGAGGAAGGAGUACGCCGGAGGAGCACCGAGGGGCCAAUGAGGCAGGGGGCGCGCCCUAGGGGGGGCGCCCCCACCCUUGUGACCGCCUCUUUUGUUCCUUGGAGUAGGGUCCAAGUCUCCUGGAUCACGUUCGGUGAGAAAAUCACGUUCUCUAAGGUUUUAUUCCGUUUGGACUCCGUUUGAUAUUCUGUUUCUUCGAAAUACUGAAAUAGGCAAAAAACAGCAAUUCUGGGCUGGGCCUCCGGUUAAUAGGUUAGUCCCAAAAAUAAUAUAAAAGUGGAAAAUAAAGCCCAAUAUAGUCCAAAACAGUAGAUAAUAUAGCAUGGAGCAAUCAAAAAUUAUAGAUACGUUGGGGACGUAUCAGGAAGCUUGUUAAGAAAAAUGCAUUCAUAGUUCCUAAGACAACCAGAACUGAUGAAAAGAAAAUGUAAGCUUAUAAAACUAUAGAAAUUGGGAAGCGUAUAAAAAUAUGAAAAAAAUUAGUUAAAAGAAUGCUAUUUCUAACAAAAACAUGAAGGAUGAACUACAUAGGUAUGCUGCAAUCGCCUAACACAUAUAUUGUCAAUAAAAAGUCUAGUGUAGAAAAUUAACUUAUGACCAACAUGUAUUAAUUGAUGGUGUGGCAAUGCUGUGUGCAUAGAUUAGUGCAAAAAAAACUUAUAACUUACAUGCAUGACUUGCUUAUCUGGCAUGGUGGCAUGGCUAAGAAAAAUAGACAAUAGUUUGUAGCUAUUUAGGAAUAGAGGGUGUGUUCAAUUUUUUAUUGUGUGCAUAUGCGCAUCUGCCCAUGUUUGCACACAUAUAAACACAUCGCAGUAUACUUGGCACACUUCAAAUUAAGAAGCUAGGCAACAUUUGCACACAUUGCACACAUAUCACUAUACAUCACACAUUCAAAGAUACCACCACAAGAAAGUAAAAGGGGAGCUCACCACGGGUCUGGGCGAGGGGGCUUUGGCGAGGACUACCGUCUGGGUGAGCCAAGAAGAGGAUGGCAAGCUCAGAGGUGGGGGCAAAUGGGUAAGCGUCAGUGGGGAAGCUCGACAGUCGGUGAUGGAGUAGUUGUGUGCCUCGGGUUUGCAUCACAAGGGAGAAAAUGGAGAGAGAGAGAGAGCAUGGCGGAGGGGCAAUCUACGCAAUCCUUGAAGGAAAUAUGCCCUAGAGGCAAUAAUAAAGUUGUUAUUUAUAUUUCCUUAUAUCAUGAUAAAUGUUUAUUAUUCAUGCUAGAAUUGUAUUAACCGGAAACUUAGUACAUGUGUGAAUACAUAGACAAAAUAGAGUGUCCCUAGUAAGCCUCUACUUGACUAGCGUGUUAAUCAAAGAUGGUCAAGUUUCCUGACCAUAGACAUGUGUUGUCAUUUGAUGAACGAGAUCACAACAUUAGAGAAUGAUGUGAUGGACAAGACCCAUCCGUUAGUUUAGCAUAAUGAUCGUUAAGUUUUAUUGCUAUUGCUUUCUUCAUGACUUAUACAUAUUGCUCUGACUAUGAGAUUAUGCAACUCCCGAAUACCGGAGGAACACCUUGUGUGCUAUCAAACGUCACAACAUAACUGGGUGAUUAUAAAGAUGCUCUAUAGGUGUCUCUGAAGGUGUUUGUUGGGUUGGCAUAGAUCGAGAUUAUGAUUUGUCACUCCGAGUAUCGGAGAGGUAUCUCUGGGUCCUCUCGGUAAUGCACAUCACUAUAAGCCUUCCAAGCGAUGUGACUAAUGAGUUAGUUACGAAAUGAUGCAUUAUGGAAUGAGUAAAAAGACUUGCCAGUAAUGAUAUUGAACUAGGUAUGAUGAUACCGACGAUCGAAUCUCGAGCAAGUAACAUACCGAUGACAAGGGAAAUAACGUAUGUUGUUAUUGCGGUUUAACCGAUAAAGAUCUUCGUAGAAUAUGUAGGAACCAAUAUGAGCAUCCAAGUUCCACUAUUGGUUAUUGACCGGAAAUGUGUCUCGGUCAUGUCUACAUAGUUCUCGAACCCGUAGGGUCCGCACACUUAAUGUUCGAUGACAAUUUGUAUUAUGAGUUAUGUAUUUUGGUGACCGAAGUUUGUUUGGAGUCCCGGAUGAGAUCACGGAUGUGACGAUCUCGAAAUGGUCGAGAGGUAAAGAUUGAUAUAUUGGAACGUAGUAUUCGGACACCGGAAGGGUUCCAGAGUGUAACGGGUACAUACCGGAGUACCGGAGGGGUUACGGGAAACCCCCGAGGAAAGAUAUGGGCCAUAUGGGCCAUAGGAGGGAGGCUAACCAGCCCACAAGGGGCUGGUGCGCCCCCCACAAGGGAGGAGGCCGAAUUGGUUUAGGGAAGGGGGCGCCACCCCCCUCCCCCCUUUCCUUCUCCUACUCCCUCUCCUUCCCCCUUUCCACCUCCAUGAGAAGGAAAAGAGGCGGGGGGGGGGGGCGAAUCCUACUGGGACUAGGAGUCCUAGUAGGCCUCCCCCCCUUAUGGUGCGCCCCUAGGGCCGGCCUCCUCCCUCUCCCUCCUUUAUAUACGUGGGUAGGGCACCCCUUGGAGACACACCAAUUGUUCCAAGCCGUGUGCGGCGUCUCUCUCCACGGUUUACUCUUCCAGUCAUAUUCACGAGUGCUUAAGCGAAGCCCUNNNNNNNNNNNNNNNNNNNNNNNNNNNNNNNNNNNNNNNNNNNNNNNNNNNNNNNNNNNNNNNNNNNNNNNNNNNNNNNNNNNNNNNNNNNNNNNNNNNNNNNNNNNNNNNNNNNNNNNNNNNNNNNNNNNNNNNNNNNNNNNNNNNNNNNNNNNNNNNNNNNNNNNNNNNNNNNNNNNNNNNNNNNNNNNNNNNNNNNNNNNNNNNNNNNNNNNNNNNNNNNNNNNNNNNNNNNNNNNNNNNNNNNNNNNNNNNNNNNNNNNNNNNNNNNNNNNNNNNNNNNNNNNNNNNNNNNNNNNNNNNNNNNNNNNNNNNNNNNNNNNNNNNNNNAACCAGCCCACAAGGGGCUGGUGCGCCCCCCACAAGGGAGGAGGCCGAAUUGGUUUAGGGAAGGGGGCGCCACCCCCCUCCCCCCUUUCCUUCUCCUACUCCCUCUCCUUCCCCCUUUCCACCUCCAUGAGAAGGAAAAGAGGCGGGGGGGGGGGGCGAAUCCUACUGGGACUAGGAGUCCUAGUAGGACUCCCCCCCUUAUGGUGCGCCCCUAGGGCCGGCCUCCUCCCUCUCCCUCCUUUAUAUACGUGGGUAGGGCACCCCUUGGAGACACACCAAUUGUUCCAAGCCGUGUGCGGCGUCUCUCUCCACGGUUUACUCUUCCAGUCAUAUUCACGAGUGCUUAAGCGAAGCCCUGCGCGGAUCACAUCGCCAUCACCGCCACCAUGCCGUCGUGCUGACGGAACUCUCCCUUGACCCUCUGCUAGAUCAAGAGUUCGAGUGACGUCAUCGAGCUGAACGUUUGCUGAACUCGGAGGUGUCGUACGUUCGGUACUAGAUCGGUUGGAUCGUGAAGACGUUCGACUACAUCAACCGCGUUAACCUAACGCUUUCGCUUUCGGUCUACGAGAGUACGUGGACACACUCUCCCCCUCUCGUUGAUAUGCAUCUCCUAGAUAGAUCUUGUGUGAUUGUAGGAUUUUUUUUUUGAAAUUGCAUGCUACGUUCCCCAACAAUCCUACCUAGCCUACCUAACUAAAUACCCCUGAAUUUCACUAUCUUGAUGUAGAUCCCCAAUGAGGCAUUACAGGCGUGGCCACCACUGCAAUGGGUGGGUGGCGGUGUUUGUGGUCCUCUCACUGACAUUCUUCCACAAAGUCGCGACAAUGUUGCUCUGUCAUGAUACCAAUCUUGAUCUACUUAUCAUCACGAGCAACACCUAUGUAGCGAAGGUGAAGAUUUCAACCACAGGGCGGCAUCACCCUAUAGGUUGACACUCUAGAAGAAGGCCGCAAUAGAGAAACACCAUACGGGGGCAGAGCAGAGAAGCAAAGGAUGGAGAGGUGGUGGUGGCACCGUCCGUGCCCCAAACAUAGUCGUGUUCGCCUCCCUUUGUCGCCUUCGGGAAAAGCAAGUACACCCUUAUGUUUUUCCCAUUAAGUUUUUUCUCAUCUUAGUUAUGAAGGAGACAAUACUAAUUGCAUGUUGUAUACCAUCUUCUCAAUUUUUCCAAGAGUUUAGAAGGAAUUGCAACAGCAUAUCAAGUGUUACUGUCCUUUGACUGUUUACGGUGGUGUGUACGAGUUUGGAGCAUCUUGCUAGUGAUGUUUUUAUCGACAUGGGUGGCGACAUAAUGUAUACAGUCCCUCCAUCCAAAUAUAUAUGGUCUAAUACAUGUUUCGAGGUUACCUUUGACCAUUGAUAAAAUUGUUAAUAUAAGAGAUGUACGAUAUAAAUUAGGAACUCAUUUCAUAUACGAAUUUGACGGUAUGCUCCGUGUAACAUGCAUGCCAUAUAUUAUUGAUCUAACAUGUGGUGAAACUUAACCUUGAAAACAUAUUAUGCUCUAUAUUUUUCUAUUGGAGGGAGUAUAGGCUUUCCACUCCAUACAUCUAGGCAUAGUCACGGUCUUGUUUGACUUUGCUUUUACCGGCGUAGUACUUUGUGCGAGUUUGCAUUGGUUGUACUAUAUGACUUUACUCAUUAGCUUGUAUCACCUUGAUGCCAUAUUAUGUGUCAAUAAAAACCGUUAUAUAUCAAAAAAAACUCUCCUCACAUCUUCCGACAUCACUUUUGGGGGAUUCUUAGAAUUAUAAGGCUGGCUGUAAUGAGGAGUAUCAUAUAGUAGUAUCAUGCAUAUGAUACUAGUGUAUGUUACUAUCUCGUAAUGCAUAGUAUCAUAUAUUAGUAUCAUGUAGCACUUUAUUUAUUGUCAUGCAUGACACAAAGUAGCAUAGCAUUUAUUAUGAUACAGUAUCAUGAUAUGAUACUCCAUCCUCUUUUUCUUCAUUUAGUGCUAUGACACCUCAUCAGUGGCGGAGCCAGAAACUUAAUAUAGAGGGGGCCAAACAGAGUGCUAUAAUGUUAGACGGGGCCAAAUCAACUAAAUCUUGCUAAUUAUGUUUGACAAAUGGAGGAUUAGGAGCAUAUAUAGUUGUAUUUGAGAGAGCAUAGGGGGGGCCUUGGCCCCUGCCAGCACCCCCCUGCCUCCGCCACUGCACCUCAUCAAAAUUGCCUAGUUGGCAUGCAUGAUACUAGCUAUGAUACUGCCAUUACGAUCAGCCGGAGAGAUUAUUAUUAAUCAGAUUGCUUAUUGCUACUCAAUAAAGAGAAGUUAGAUGCAUUUAUUUGUCUAUCUCUCUCGUUCUUUACUUCAACACAACCAAAGGAAAUGGAUGUGGACGGAAGUACUACACCGAGCGAAGCAGCAGGCAGCCAUCAUUGACGAACUACCCCGCUGACCCUCUACCCACUGGGUUUCAAUGCAGAACGUCCAUAGAUGCAGCCAUGCAUGCAUCAACCUUUUGCUGACCGUAGUCAAGUCGAAGUAGUAGUGCAAAUGCAAUUCAGUCACAGGGUGUUCAACUGAUAAUUGCACAGGACGAGAGCGAUUGAUAAUGCUCUUAGACUAGUCAUAGUGGGAGUAACUUAGACUAUCCACAAUGGAAGUAAUAUAGGUACUCCCUCCUUCCGUCUAUAUAGGGCCUAAUGCGUUCUUCAAGACCACCUUUGACUAUUAAUAAGAUUAAUAAUACAUGAGAUGUAUAAUGUGAAAAUUAUAUCACUGGAAGCUCCUUUCACGUACGAAUUUGACAGUAUGCUUUGUGUAACUUGCAUGUCAUAUAUUAUUGCUCUAACACUUGGUCAAAGUUAGCCUCGAAAAACGCAUUAGGCCCUAUAUAGAUGGAAGGAGGGAGUAGUAACAUCAUACAUGUUUAGAUAAAAUGGAUGAUGUAGCAAGCAAUAAAUGAAGAAAGAGAGGCGUGUGGUAACAUAGCUAGUUAGGCUGGUCACAAUGGGCAAGAACAUAGUCUAGUAACUUACACACUUCCCUAGACUAUGUUACUACCUCCACAGUGGGUAGAAACAUCUAUGUAGUGUCAUGCAACAAUGUAUUUAUUAGGUUAUAAACUCAUUGUUUUUUGGAGUGUGUGAUGUUCCGAUAACUUAGCUAGUUACCACAAGCAUCUCUCUCUUCAUUAAAUAUGUGACACAUAAGCAAAGUUGUAUUGGAGUGUGUGAUGUUACUCCUAAGUUCCUCCCCAUUGUGACCAGCCUUACUACUAGUAUGAGUAACAUCACACAUAUUAAGGCAAGAUGAGUCUAUGGCCUAAUAAAUGAAGUGUUGUAUGUUACCACACAUAUGUUACUAUCCACUAUAAAGGUAGUAACAUAGAGUAGCUAGUAACAUAGCGCAUUUCGAGAAAAUUCUGCUUAUGUGGCAAGUAAUUAACGAGAGGUGAUAACAUAAUAUGUUACUGUAACAUAGCGCUUUCCAAUACAAGAUGAGUCUACGAGCUAAUAAAUGAAGCCAUCUAUAAUACUACUAGUAUGUUACUUUCCAUUAUGAAGGUGGACUUGCAAACAUGUUUAUGUGACAGAUAAUUAAAGUAGUGAGAUGGUUAUAUAUAAAUGUGAUGCUAUUAUGUGUCAUGCAUAGUAAUAAAUGAGACCACAUAUUAUACUAAUUUAUGAUACUAUGCACUAUACUCCCUCCGUUUAGGUAUGCAAGUCACCUUAUAAAAACCAAAUAAUCCCAAAAUACUUAGGCACGGUACAUUAACUUCCUCCUCGUUUCUUGUUUUGUGACAUAUCAAUCAAUAAAAGAUGUGGACCGUGCAUGUUUUCAAUGACUUGAAACUAUCAAACAUGAUAUGCAGUGGUUAGUUCAUUAUAUGCAAUGCUAUUAAUUAGCAAAAAGGUAUUAAGUUUUCUCGUUUUUCUCCCUGCCUUGGUCACCUAGACAGAGGGAGUAGAGUAAGUUACUCCUCACUAUAACCAGCCUUAAUCACCCAUCUGCUCUAUGGCCGCGUAUUCGGACGGUGCAUGGCCAGGCCAACUAUAAAUACCCCAGGAGUUCCAGCACCCCUCUCCUCACCACCAUCUUUUUCCAUUCCCAUCACACAACGUACACCUCUGCGACCGCAAUAGCGAGAGGGAAGAGUAGAUCUGCGGCCAUGGCGAUGAGGAAGGAGGUCCUCCUGGCAGCCAUGAUGCUGCCGCUGGUGGUGGCGGAGCGCGUGCCGCGUGCGAGAUGGGGCAGCUGACGGUGUGCAUGCCGGCGAUCACCACCGGUGCCAAGCCGAGCGGCGCGUGCUGCUCCAACCUGCGCGCGCAGCAGGGGUGCUUCUGCCAGUACGCCAAGGACCCCUC
This 87875-nucleotide long non-coding RNA is filed under the name Triticum aestivum (bread wheat). RNAcentral's name for it is "long non-coding RNA (TAES_LNC006535)". The stretch from base 32451 to 32584 matches the Rfam family "MIR1120/MIR1122 microRNA precursor family". The record is from RNAcentral. Lineage: Eukaryota; Viridiplantae; Streptophyta; Magnoliopsida; Poales; Poaceae.